This 48759-nucleotide long non-coding RNA is filed under the name Vitis vinifera (wine grape). RNAcentral's name for it is "long non-coding RNA (VVIN_LNC001543)". The record is from RNAcentral. Lineage: Eukaryota; Viridiplantae; Streptophyta; Magnoliopsida; Vitales; Vitaceae.
CCAACAUGAGAGUCUAGGUUGAUAUGCACGCAUGGUUGUGAGAUCUGUCAUAAAUCUGUUAUAAAGUAAUAGUUUUGUAAUUUUACAAUUUGUGAUGCAAUGACAUUUAUAUUGAUCUAUUAGGCACCUCUGCAUCUAGCAUAGGGUAGUUUAGUCAACAUUUGUAUUUUUGCUGCAACAACAUGAUGUUAUUUGUAGCACGUAGUUUGUUGGUUGGUUAAUUGGCCACCUUUUGGCUUAAGGGUAGAUCAUAAUAUCACACUUAUUUUUGGUCUUUAUACACUAACUUGAAUAUUAGAGACAUCCGUAACUGCUCAUUGUUUUUUGACAUGGAUUUGCACCAGCUCUACUCUCAAAAACAGUUCCCAAUCAGUCCAAAAAUUCACAUAGUGGCUCAAGUGAGGAGGUUGCUAUUUAAUGAUAAAAAAUGGCUUAGUUUACCCCUGAUAUACAACUGCAUUGUGAGGAUCUUGACUGAUCUCAUCAUCAUGAUAAAAAGGAAAAGAGAGUAGAGAAAAUAAAAAAGAAAAUUGCAAAAGAAAAACAGAAAGUAAAGCUUUAAAACAGAGGAGAAAAAAAAGGGAAAAAAUUGAUGGUCAAACUGUUCAUUCCAGCUUUUAGUCAUUAGUUUGGCUCUGGGAUCUCCACAGUUUUGACGGACAAUAUAAUGAAUUCAUGUUGUAAACUAAACCUGUUACUUGUAUAUUUUAUAAUGUCCAUUUUGUUCUUAACCAGAAAGUUCCCUAGGACUUCUGGUUUUUCUCUUGUGGCACCGGGCAGUCCCACCAAAUGGACUGGAAACUGAUCCUUUUGCUGUUGGUGUGGUGUGAAACUCAUUUUCGUUUCCCUAUUUUUCAUGAUGUGUUAUGCAGGCAAGAUUCUUAUUGGCAAAGUUGAACCCAUCAGCUACAUACAACAAUGCCCAUGAAAUGGCAACUGGGUCAGAUGUGAUCUUCACAGAUGAUGUGAGCCUUCAAGUGUUCUUUGAGCAUCUCCAGAGGCUGGCUGUGCAAUCAUGAGAGCAGAAAGGAGUUGGGAUCUAAUACACUUAAAUCUAUGGGUUGGUUUGUGUGGUGAAAAUUCUCUUGUCCUCUAAUGUCUGUCCUGGUUCCAAUGAGUUUUCCUUUCUUCCCCAUGUUAAAAUGUUGAGAAGUGAGACCCGAGAUUAUUUGGAAAAAGCAAAUAAGGAAAGCAUGUAUCAUUCUUUAGGGGUGGUUGGGGGAAGGUAUUUGCUUCCUUUGGUAGAAUAAGAGACACAAAGGUUAAUAUUGAGUUAUACGGAAAGAAAGGUUUGAUGCUUGAGCGCUAGGAGGCCAGUCAGUGAGGGCUCAGGAAGAUAUUUUGGCAGCUGUUCUCUCUUUUUUUUGGUUUCUUAAUUUUUUCUUUGUUAAUUAGACAGCCAGGUUAGAAGAACAUUGGUGCUGUGUAUUUGAGUUUUUCUUUUCUUUUUUCUUUUUUAAGUUAUAUACUGAAAUGGGGCAUAUGAAAAAGUUGGGGAAACUGGAUCAUUUGUUUUUUACCCUUACAAAUUUUAAAUACAGCUAUCAAUUUCCUUAUUGGUUCAUAUUAUCCUUCAAAAUCAUGAAGCCCAUGUCUGUGUUUUGUGGGGAAAAGAGCGUGGGAAUGAUAACCGUUUGUUUGUUGGUGAAGUGGCAAGUGUUAAUGGAUAUGCAUCUUUAUAUAAUUAUUUGUACAAAAUUUAAAAGUAGACUUGAAACUCAGAUCGACUCUAGUCUGAUUUUCUAUUUUCUAGUGGGAGUAAAAUGUGAUGGACGAAGCAACAACUUCCAUCUGCUCAUUGUGAGGGCCCAUCCAUCCCCCUCCUCAACUUCGCAUAUUGGUAAUUUCACAUUGUUUUGAAGGCCCCAAAACACCAUCAAUGAAAAAAAAUUUGUUAAUUUCACAGGUUUUGAAGAUGAUGCAUCUUACAACUAUUUCACAUUGUUCUUCUCCUUAAUGAUCACAAAUUAUUCAUAUCAAAAUGACAUAUUGGUAAAAGAAUGAAUCAAUUGAAAGGAAAACCCUAAUGCUCCUGAGGUUAAGAAAAUUGUGUAGAAAAGAGUAGUCCUCAACCAUUGCUACCUCGUAUCGUCUUUAGAUUCUAAGAGUACAAUACUUGGUAUUUUGAUAAUAGUUGUUCUUGACACAUGAUUGGAAAUAAGAAAUAUUUCUCAAUCUUUGAAUCAUUGCAAAGGAGAAAAGUUGCAUUUUGCUUUUAUCAUCUUAACCCAAGGAUGGUCGCCUUCGCCAACUUGAUGUGAAUAAUGUCUUCCUUUAUGGUUCACUAACUAAACAAGUGUUCAUAUUUAAACCUCCUAGUUUUGUUGAUGACUCACAUCCUUAUCAUGUAUAUCAUUUUUAUAAAGCUAGUCGUGGCCUUAAGUAGGCACUUCAUGCUUAGUACAAGAACUCCAAACUUUUCUCCUAGCCUUUAGAUUUGUUAAUUCUAAAUCAAAUUAAUCUCUUCAUAUACUAUUAUAUUAUUAUCACAAUUUAUUUCCUUGUUUAUUUCAAUGAUCCUAUUACUAGAAAUAAAUGGUAAGGCUACUAUGGAAGCAACCAAGUUAACAAAUUUGAAGAUGUACUUUAUUUUGAGAAUCUUGAAGCGAAUUUCAUAACAAUUUGCCAAAUGUGCAACAACAAACAAGUUUGUGCUUCACUCAACAACCAUGCCUAAUCAAGAAUGACAGGGGAAGAGUGCUUACUUGUUAGCAGUAGGACAUCCAAUAAUUGCUAUACACUAGCUACUAAUUCUUCUCUUCCACUUCCAUUGAGUAUAGAACUGUAAAGUUAGAUCCUAUUAAAGCUAAAGCAUCAUAGAGUAAAAUAUCUUAACCUUAUGUAUUUGGCUAAUUUGGCUUGGAUAGCAAACGAGAAGCUUAUUAAAGGAAUUCCUAAACUAGGAAAGCUAAGGGUCUGUUUGGUUGGUGUUUUCAAGAACUAUUUUCUGUUCUUGAAAAGAAAAAACAUUAAAAACUUAUUUGGUUGAGAAAGUUGUUUUUGUUUUUCUUGUUCUUCGUGUUCUCAAAAUGGCACUUUUUAGAGAACAAAAAAAUUUUGUUUUCCCCAUUUUUUUUACUAUUUACAGAACAAAAAAAAGGCAUAAGAGAACAACUGUUCUCCGUGUUUUUUUUUUCUCGUUCUCACAUUUCCUUUUCUCCAGCACAGUGGUGGCAUCUCCAAUAGCACGAAACGAAGGUAACUCUACCAACACAUUUGUGCUUUCCUUUUUAUUUCCGCAUAUGUUGAAGUUGUUUUUGGUAGAUCUAGUAAAGUAGGCUUAUUUUGGUAACAUUUGUUGAGAAAAAUGUUAGAUCUGGGUAAAGAGAUAAUUUUUUUUUUUUGGUAUUGUAUGUUUGUUUUGAAAUCUAUUUUUAUUUGGAAUGAGAUUGUUUUUCAGUUCUGUUAUUCGAAUGAGAUCUGAGUUUUUUUUUUAUCAUGUGUUUUUAGGUUUUUGAUUUUUCCGGUUUGGAUGCUGAGAAAAGUGGGGAACGAGAAAGAAAACAAACAAAAAAAUUCCUGAUUUUUCCCGUUUCACAGUUUUGAUUUUUCUUGAAUUGUUUUAUUCAAGAAAAACAAAAAACCUGCUUAAGAACAUAGAAGAGAAAGAAAACGAGUUGCUUAUUGAGAGGGUUUUGCAGGUGAUUUUUUUCUCAAUUUUGAAGAAGAUGAGAGACGAGAGAAUGAGGGUAGUAAAAUGUAAAUAAGAAUGUAAUAUUGGAUAAAGACUUUUCUCAAGAUUAGAAUGGUCAGAGAUAUUUUUAAGGGACAUGAAGAUCAUUUGUAUGGAUAAAAUGGUUGGUAAAAUAAAAUUCAUACAUAAAGAGAAAAUAUAUUGGUCAAAGUAUAUUGGUUGGUAAAAUAUAUUUCUCAACACAAAUAUAACAUCAACUUCAGUCGUGGGAAUCCCUUGGAAAAUGACCAUCUUCAAACUUCAUCUUACUUAUAACUCAAACAAUAAUGAACAAAGUGUCAUUGUAAACAAUUAUUGGCUAAAACAAAUUUAUUAAAAUAACAACUUGGUUGCUUUGACUUCAAUCAUCCAAAUAAAAAUUAUAUUUAGAUUAAUUACUAAAAAUAAAAUUUUUGUUUAUAUGAAAACUAAAACUUAUUUUGAUGGUUUCUUUGCAUCCUUUUUUCUACACCUCAAAUGGACAUAUUUGCAUUUAUUUUCAUGUCCUAUAUAUUCUAUUUUAUUUUGUUUUUAAUAAUUUAUCUAGAACAUCCUCAUUGUUUUAUAUGUGUUGAUGAUUAUAAUCUAUAACAACUUCAUUAACUAGUUGUCAUCUGAUAUAAAAAUUUUAAAAUGAAAUAAUUUUUUAAAUUUAAAUGAAUUGUGUAUAUAAAAAUUAUUUAUAAAUUUAUCAUAUAAAGUUACUUGAAGAAAACAUUUUAUUAAUUGGAAAAAAAAACAACUUUCAAACAUGUUUUUUUGUUUUUUGAGAACAAAAACCGUUUUCCAAAAUUCAUUUCCCAAACAUAAUUUUUUUUUUUUUUUUCUGAAAACACCAAAAAUUGUUCUCAAAAACUGUUUUCCUGAAUAGUUUUCGAAAACAACAACCAAACAAUCGCAUAAGUUCUAGUUGUUAUUGAUGAUUACUCUACGGGCACCAUCCACUACAAUUUGAUGGUUCAAGGUGACCACUUUGCUUGAGUUGGGUCAGGCUUCAAGCUCUAGAAUAGUGUGUUGAUUUUGUUGAUUUUUGAUGUACCAUUUUGCCCCUCACUAGACCAUUUGGAAUCUCAAGGAUGAUCUCAUGCGAGUUUGUUAUUACCAUCUCUCUGUUUUAAUCUAUCAUUUUUCCAACCAACUUUGACAUCUACUCACAUAAAUCUCCAACUCUUUAUCAUUCCAUCUCCAUCUCACUCCCCCCUUUUUUUUUCUCAAAUCUCCUAAGUCUUCUUAUUAGACAAAUAAACUUUAAAUUAAAUCAUACUUAUUUUUUUUGAAUUUGACAUCGAGUUUAGUAAUUUUUAAAACUUACUUAAAAUUUAAAAAUAGACUUAAUCACGGGUUAUAUACUUUACAAACUAAAACGAGCCAAUAAUGGCUUUGUUGAUUUUUCUACCACGUAAAACCAUGUUAUUGUAAUUUUUUCAUUAGACAAAGAAAGACUUUAGAUCCAAUAAAACUUGAAACAUUGGAUUGCUUAAGAAAUUUAGCAAUGCUUAAAAAUAAUUUGGAGUAAAAAACCAAUCCAAUUAUUAGCUAAAAUUGAAUCAAAGUUGUUGUUGUGUUUUUUUCUUUUUUAUUUUUUAUCAAAAUAAUUUUAUUCCAAACUCAAAAAUAAAUUUGGUGGUGUAUUAUAUAUUUUGCCAUCCUAUAUAAGGAUUGGGCGCCAAAGCAUUUGAACGCAGUGGGCAGAGAAUGAUGUUGGAGGAGGAGGAAGAAGAAGUGUAUCCAGCAACAUGCUCACAGGGCCACAGAUCCACCCUCAUCCUCCAAACCAUGGAAGGAGGCAGAAUCUGCCUCAUCUGCUUUACCAACCUCCUCUCCAACCCUACUUCCCCCACCUUCCACGUCUCUCACGCCCUCUCUCAGCUUUCCCACGCCCUCUCUCACCCCCCUUUUCUCCAUUCCCUUCUCUCCCACCACCCUCACCUUCUCGUCUCCCCUCUUCUUCACUCCCUCUCCUUCUUCAACGACCAUUCCAUCGCCUCCCAGAUCAUUCAUCUCGUUCUCUUUCUCUCUAAUUCUUCUCAUUCUUCUUCCCUUUAUGGGGAGUUUGUCUCUCGGAUUGCCUCCAUCCUCUCAGGUUCUAAGCUCCACUGGAGUCCGCGCCAGGCCUCUAUGGUACCCUUUUGUCAUUUCCCGCUUCUUUUUUCCUUCUUUCUUUUUUCUGUUUGGUUUCUGGGAAAAUUGAGGGUCAAAUUUUGGCGUAACUAGUUCUGCUAAGCUAUUUUGUGUGCCGAGUGAUUAAUUAUGUUAAAAAAAAUGGUAGAUACUAUUUUUCCACAUUUUUCUCAAUAACCAAACAGAGUGUGAUAGAUUGCGUCUCACCUCUGUCUGUGCACUCCCCUUUGUUUUCCUCUCAUUUUGUGUUUCUUCUGUUUGGUUGCUGGAAAAAUAGAGGGGAAGAGUGGAAAUCGUGAAAAACCUUAGCGGAAGUGGUUGUGUUUGGCUAUUUGGAUACCGACUUAUGAAUUUUGUAACAAAAAUAUGUGAAACUUAAUUUUCCUAGUUUUCUCAAGAACCAAACAGACAUAAUAGAUUGUGUCUCACCUUUCGUUUCCUAAGCUGGAGCGGAGUCAGGAUAGUUUCAUCUUUCGCUGUUUGGUACAUUAGAAAAUGGUGGAAAAGACAGAGGAGUAAUGAUUAAAUCUAUAGGAAGAAUUCGUAUUUGGUCAAUUUUGGUGCCGACUGAUGGAUGUUAUUAAAAGAAUUUUUUCAAAACUUCCUUUUCUAUGUUUUCUGGACAGCCAAACAGAGAGUCUCAAAUAGUAAAUAAUAAUAAAAAAAUUAACCAUUGAAUCAUGGCGUCUCAGAUAUCUAUAGUACACCUUUCAAUUUGUAUGGGCAACAAAACAAUAAUUUACAGGCAAACAAACAUAAUUUCAAGCCCCAUGGAGGGGCCUUGAAUAUUGGUAGAGAUUGGGAACUCAAGGAUAUACUUGGAUUUGUAUAUUGGUUGAGUUUAGUUCAUUGUUUGAUUAAAUGAGUUUCAUAUUAAUGAAACAUUUUAAUUAGUUAUAAAAUUUAAAAACAAAAAAGUAGUAGAAAAAGGAAGAAAAUCUAUGCAUCAAUAGGAUUAAAUGAUCUUUUCCAUUUUGAGUUGGACACUAAGAGUUUCUUCUGGGGUGAUGUAUCCUUUGACAGUGAAUUCAUUACUUCAUCUGAAUAGCAUUCAUUUCAGCAUUUCUCCGUAUGCAGCUUCAUUGCUUAGGGGUUCUCUUGAACUGUGAGACGAAUAAUCCUUAUGCCCACAUCAAAGACAAAAGUGCCCUUGUCUUCAACCUUGUUGCAGGUCUUCAGUUGCCUAGGUAACAACUAAAGCACACCCAGAAAUUAUUCAUCUUCUUUUACUAUGCAUCUAUUGUAUUGUAUCUUUAGUACCUUCUUUCUUUGUUUCAUGUUGAAUACAGUGAAGAGAUCCAGGGGGAGAUCCUGUUUGUUCUCUACAAACUAUCUAUCCUCCAAUAUGCAUCUGAGGAGGGUGAUGGGUCUGACCUUUUAUUUUCCUUUUGCCCCAAGCUCUUGCACUUGUCAAUGGAAGCUCUUAUGAAGACCCAAAGUGAUGAUGUUCGUUUGAAUUGUGUAGGUUUGUGAAUUUCCUUUGGACAUUUAUUUUACUUCAUUUUUUGCUAUCACAUGGGAACCGCCUAGUUAACCCUUGGCCAGAAUGAAGUUAAUUCAGCAUAUGCCAGGAUUUUUUGUUCCAAAAUAAGUUUGCCUAUUGCAUCCUUGGCCUUUUGUCCCUUGGUUAUGAUUAUGUAUUGACAAAAUGCAAAGAGCAACUUCAGAAACCCAAUUUUCACAUCAUAUAUGCUGUCAUGUGAGAUGGGAAUACAAUGAUGUUUGUCGGUGGCGGUGAAGUCCUGAUGACUGCUUAUGACAAUAUUCCAGACUGGAAAUAUUUGGUUCUUAAGCAGAGCGAUAGGAGUAUGUAUAGUAACAAACUAUUGAGCUGGACCACUGCUUAAGUUCCAUCUAAACUAUCUCCCAGGUUAAAUUACAAUAUGAUUAUAUGACCACUAACUGAUCCCAUGCAAAACUAGGACUCCUAGAAAGUUGGAAUUCUCAAAAGCUAUGCAGGGUAUGACUAUUAACUGCCUGUAUUUUAGUUUGAAUCAUAUAAAUUGGGACCCUUCAGACAAUAUAUGCUAUAUGCAGUAGUCAUCCUGAAAUGUCAUUGGAAUGCACUCAUGCACAGAUGCACUUAUAUCUUUCAUUUUCAUAUUUUCUCAAGUGAUAAUUUCCAGUUUCUCCUGUGUAGCACUCUUGACAGUGUUGGCUCAAAGGGGUUACUUUGAGAAUGCAUUUGCUAAUGACAUAAGCAUUAGGGAUUGCUGUGAAGCUGAUAACUUCAUGGAAGUGACAGAACAUGAAAAAGAUGUGCUUCCUCUGAAUAUCUUGUUUGCUGAAGCUAUCAAAGGCCCACUACUUUCUUCGGAUAGUCAACUUCAACUUGGCGCACUGGAUUUGAUCUUUUAUUAUUUAUCAUGGGAAAGGGGUUCAAGCAAACGGAUUCAAGUCUUGGUGGAAGAAAACAUUGCAGAUUAUGUAUUUGAAAUACUAAGAUUGUCAGGUAAAUAGAUUUGCCUGUCUAACCAAGAAACUCAAGGUGGUAGUGUCCUUUUGAGUAUGGCCUACCAUUAAAAUGUGAAACAAAUCUAUCAUUCAGUAUCUCAGCUGUCAACCAUUCCUUCUAUAUUAUGUUUUUCUUGGAAUGCCACCACAAUUUUCUAAUUAUUGAUGCUAUAAACAUCCACAAUUUUCUUUUGGAUGCUAUGAACUUCAAUUUCUGCAUGCCAGUAAUUGUCAUGAGCAUAAUUUUCUAAUUACUGAAUUGAGUGAAUAUAAUAUUAUCAUCAGCAUACUAUCUGGUCAACCUUCUGAAUAGUCUGAUGAGUGUAUGCUGUAUUUCUUCAUGGCAGUAGUUACCUCAAAUCUCUAUAUUUAUGUUUGUGAUCUAAAAAUAAACUUAGACUCUUUUGGAUGCUGCAAAUUCUAGUUGUCUGAGUAUUGAAAUUUUGUGUUAAUUUUAGAGUGCAAGGACCCAGUGGUUAACUCCUGCCUUCGAGUUCUUGAUCUUUUAUCAAUAGCUGAGCAUGCUUUUGGACAAAGACUUGCUAUUGGAUUCACUACACUGCUUCCUGUUCUGCAGUAUGUAGUUGAAGUUCCUUUUCAUCCUGUUCAAACUCCAACACUGAAGCUCAUUAGGAAUUGCAUUUUGAACUACCCUGGAAUGGUAUCCAUUACACAAAUUGAAGAAAUAGGUCUUAUCUUGACAAGGAUGCUUAGAAGACAUAUUAAUGGGGACGUGGACAUGCUUCCAGAGACGUUGAUUAUUGCAUGCUCAAUCCUUGUAGAUCUCAUGAAGUCUCCUUCUUCUCAUGAGGCUUUAACUCUCAGAACAAUAGUUCAAGAAUCAGUUAGACAUGCCAUUUUAGCUUCUCUAUGCCUCUAUGAGAAACAUCCCAAUCAAAUUUUGCACUCCCUUUACUUACUGAAAGAGGCAUAUGCAUUCAGUCAUGAAGGGAACUCCACUAAAAACGAAGCUAACCUGGAAUUAGGAAAUUGUAUUAUUGAUGUUUGUAGAACACAUUUACUACCUUGGUUUGCAACAGCCAUCAAUGAAAUGGAAUAUGAGGAAAUUGUCUUGGGAGUACUGGAAGCCUUUCAUUCAGUACUGCUUCAGGAUUCUUAUGCACAAGCAAAGGAAUUUGUGAUGAUUCUGGUUUCAUCCUCUUGGUUCAGUUUGUCAUUUGGAUGUUUAGGAUUAUUUCCUAGUGAAAAGAUGAAAUGGAGAGUAUAUCUGAUGUUCAGUUCAAUUGUGGAUGUUCUUCUGGGAAAUGAAUCUGGACAACCCAUUAGAGAUGCGGCUUUAUAUCUACCAUCUGAUCCUUCUGAUUUGUUGUUUUUGCUGGGUCAGAAGAGCACCCAAAAUCUAGAACUAUUGUCUUGUCAAUCUGCAGUUCUGCUGAUACUAUAUACCAGCUCUUUAUAUGAUGAAAGGUACUCCUUUUGCCAAUCCGAUAGUCAUCCUAAGGUUUACUUAAUAAACCAUCUUUAUCUUAAUCCUUGAUGUAUUCUUCCCAGACUUGCAGAUGAGAAGCUGGUUUUAGCUUCUCUGGAGCAAUACAUUUUAGUCAACAACAGUGAUUUGCUAUGUGGAGCUGCUGAUUCAGUGUCAAUAACACGACUGAUGAAUCUUUACGGCUUGUACCGGGGUCUUGCAAAGGUCGGCUAUCAAAUUCCCUACAGUCCAGAGGCUGAGAGGAUCCUCUUCGAGCUAGUGGCUCAAAAUGAAUGGGAUUUGUCUUCUGCAACUAUAAACUUCACAUCAUUGAAAUGGUUGUUUCAGCAAGAGAAAAUCAUUAAGCCAUUGUCUUAUCAAAUACUAAAAUUCUGCAGAAAUAAUAGCUCAAGUGGGUCACACAUCAUCAUCCAUGGAAACGACAGCCAAAACAUAGAUGUACAAGGACUUGCAAAGUUGGUAGCAGCAGGAGAUAACUUGGGUGCAGUGCUCUUGGUAUCUUUAUUGCAACAGCUUAUAGAGGAAGAAGGCAAUGAAUGCGACAUCAUUUCAGUAGUGAAUCUCAUGGUAGACAUCAUCAACAUUUUCCCAGCUGCUUCAGACCAAUUAUCCAUGCAUGGCAUAGGCAAUGGGAUCCAGGAUCUUUUUUCCCAUUCGAGCCAUUCUUUGUCCCAACAGAUGUUUGUUGCCAUUGCAAUUCUAAUUUUUGACAUUUUAUGGUCAGUGCAACCUGAAACACUUUCUGAUGGUGAAACUUGGCUUUCAGUGACCAUGAAGGUGACUAACUCAAGUGUGCUUUAUUCCAAUUUGUUCUCUAUUUCACUAAAUUAAUUGGAGAAUUCACCUCCUUUUGUAGUUAAUGGGGUACUUGAUCCCCAUGGUGACUGCAGGGGGUUGGACUCAAGAAAGUCUCUUAGUACUCGGUAUUCUUUCCUUGAUCUUGCAUCAUUCCACCAACCAAGCCCUUGUAGAAGCUUCAAAAGCCAUACUUCUGAAUGAUUCCCUUGUCUCCAUGAUCAACAAUGUGAUCCAUACAAGCUGUUCAAAGGGACCUGCUCUAAUUGAAGAUGAUGAGGAAACAAGAAAUGGAGAAACUUUAACAUUUGUGCUUUUACUACACUUUUUCUCUUGUAGAAGGUCAGUGCUUCACAUCAGUCAUGGAUUCUCCUCAGAUACAAUUACAGAACUCCUAGUUAUUAUCAGAGCUAACACUUUUUGUUUGCCUUAGUUUUAAUGCUGUUCUACCAGGUACUCUGGACUGGCAAAAUCUCCUCGAUCCAUCAAACAAGACUCAGCCACUUUCCUUGAUUAGUAUUCACUGCCAUGACCUGUGCAGACUGAUGCAUUUUGGGUCUCCUCUGGUCAAGCUGGUUGCUUCAUAUUGUCUGAUGGAGUUGUUUACCAGAAUAACAGACCUGAGAAACAGAAAACACGAUGAAUUAAAAUGGAACAUGGGGCAUCUAAUUUCUGUAAUGGCUAUAUUAGAAGGAUUGGUUUUUUACAGUGACAUUAGAGUGGCUAUGAACUGUGCCCUCUGCUUAUCAAUGAUUCUGGGGUGGGAAAAGUUAUGGAUGCAGGACACAAAAGUAAUUGGAAGGUGUAACUGGUGCAGGCUAAUUGUUGAAGAGCUGGCUAUGUCUUUGGCAGUUCCUUCUUUGGCGUCAAAAUCAUUUAUGAAUCAUCACAAACCUGCGGUUCAUGUAGCUGUAGCAUUGCUGAAACUGCACAGCAUUCCUGGGUGGAUGAAGUCUGUGUUUGAUGAUUCCUGCAUUUCUGGUAUAAUUGAAAACCUUUCAGUCAGUAAUGUGAGCAUGGAGACAGUGCUUCUGUUUCGGGAAUUACUGAACCAUGAGUACCUGAAGGAUGAGCAAAUUGCCUGCCUAAAUCGGGUUUUCCAGGUGAAAUUUUCUUAUCCUAUCUCAUGCUCUAUGCACUGCUUUUCUCUAGUUUGAGAACAGAAUCCAAACCAAAACUUGUUUUUUAAAAGAUUUAUAUUAAUGAAAAUGGUUGUUUGUUCAGAAUUUACCUAAUGAUUGUCCCCAACUAUAAGAUAUUGAGGUCCUGUUUGAUAACUAUUUUUUUAACACGGUUUUAAAAAACAGUUUUUAAAAAUCCAUUCUCUAAUGUUUUAUAGAACAAAAAUCUGAUUGGGAAUUGAAAAUGUUUUUAACUUGUUUUCAAUGAUUUUAAAUAUAAUUUUUUAUCUAGUACUUUAUUUUUAGGCAUUCUUCGUAUUUAUAUAAUUACUUUUUAAAAUAGUUCUUAGAAAACAAGUGAAAACAAGUGAAAACAAUUAAAAUUUAUCUGGAAACACCGUAUUUUUUAUUUUUAAGAAUAGAAAACAAAAAAUAGUUUUCUAAUUGUCAAACGCGUUUUCCCUUUUUGUUUUGGAGAAUAGAAAACUAUUCCAAAUAGGGCCUAUGGUUCUCUUUGGAGCAAUCAUACUUUCUAGUGAAGUGCUUUUUUCAAAAGAAAUGUAAAAAACUUGCGUUAUAUUUGAUUCUUGGAAAGUAUUAAGAAAAGAAAAAAAAAUGAUAAGAAAAAUGAUUUUUCUCUUAUUUUGUUUACCAUAAAAAAUAUAAAAAAAAUCAAAUAUAAUUAAAAUCAAUUAAAAACUUGUAUAUUUUAAAGUUAUUUAAUAUUUUAUAUGAAAGAUGAAAAAUAAAUAAAUUGAGUUUGAGAAGACAUGUAAAAAUAAUUUAGUAAUUUUAAAUAUGUUUUUAUUUUACUUCCUAUUUUCUUUCCAUCCAUUUUCCACUCUAUUUUCUUUCUUUUGCAUUUUCCCACAGAUUUUUCAAGAUCAGUUCAUAUUUCAAUAUAUGAAGCAAUUUAAAAUUCCAAGCUGUUUUCCAAAAGCAUCCCAUCCCUAAAGGGCUGCCUAGACAGGCCCCAAUCCUCCAUCCUUUUAACUUCUUGGCCUUAAAAGAAACUACAGGUGAAGCAAUUAAAAAAACAAAGAAAGAAUAUUGCAGAAACCAUAAAAUAUAGAUUUCAUGUUUGCAGUCUCUUCAAAAAUGCAGGCAUGCAGAAAACAUAUUUAUAGUGGGAAUACACAAGAUGAGAGCAGAGAGGAGAAUAUAGAGAAGGUGAUUGCCCUGCCAGAUGAUUUGGGAAAAGCUUGUGAGUUUCUCAUUCACUUAAUGUCAUCCAAUUCAUCUGCACAUAAGGGGAGCAAGAGAUUGCUAGAAGAAAUAGAAAUGUUUUCCAAGAGUCUAACACUAGAGAAUGAUGGAUAAGUAUAUUUGUUAAAUCCUUAUUUUCUUUACUGAAUCAAUUGUGAACAUGUAUUGAUUUGUAACACUCACACAAGGCUCUGGAAAAAAAAAAAAAACACAUUUGUGCAUACAUAUGAUAGACCAACACAUUCAUACAGUUGAAAAAUGAAAUGGGUUGAUGGUUUGCUUGGUUAGAGCAUCUGCAUCUGGGUUAUGUAUAGCAUAUGCAAAUAGCUCAUUGCAAUGUAAAUAAAUUUUUGCUUGCCUGCCUUCUAUUGAAUUGCUCCAUCUGGUCUCUGAUUGAAUGUGCACCUUAAAGAAAAGGGUGAAGAAACAGGAAAGAAAAACAAGUUUGAGCUUUAAACUAAAUUAAAUUUUCCUUCAUUGCUUCUGCUACUUUAUUAUCAUGUUAAAUACUUGAAGUAGAGAAAUUAAUGAUAUUAAAAUGCAAAGGGUUUUGAAUAUUUUUUGUCAUAUUUUAUUUUCAUUUAUAUUUUUUUGUCACAUCCGUCUGGUUCUUGUCCAUGUAAAAACCAAUGUAAAUGGUGGAUUAGUUAGUAGUAAAUUCUCUUGUUCAAGAUAGAUGAAUAAAUGAUAAGCUUUAAUGUAACGGCCCUUCCUUCUCAUGUGGAUAUUAUUCGAGUUGGAUCCAAUACACCCAGAACGAACAAUAUCUAUAUGAAAGAGAGCAAGUUGUAACACUUAAAACAUCUUUUGGAAUGAAUACUUGGAUUCAAUACACCCAAAUCAAAUGAAUACUUGGAUUCAAUACACCAAAAUCGAACAAUAUCUACAUGGAGAGGGCAAGUUGUUAUACUUAAACGUCUUUUUGGGGUGAAUACCUUGGACUUUACUUCACAUCCAUUUGUCUAAAACACAGUGCCUCCUGAGGUUAAAACAAUUUAAAAAUGAAUAAAUAAACAAAAACCUUACUCUUAGUAUUUUAGUUUAUAGCCAAGCAUACCGUAAACUACUUCAUCAAUGGCAUCCACGAUCAUCAAAAUAAACUGCAGCAAAUGGAAUCUUUUAAAUUUUCUCCAACAGGGGCAUUGGUUGAAUGUCAAAAUAACCUGAUCUGGUAGGCGAUGGUUGGCAUGCUUAGGCUCUACAUUUAUGCACAAUAGGAGGAACGAGGUAAACAACCCUCCAUCUCCACAAGCCUUUUUGCAGAACCACCACUAUGCUGGCAGAGAUCAAGAUCCAUUAUCCCUACCAUUACUGCAUUCUGGGGAGCUUCUGAAUAUUCUGCUCUUGCUAUGAAAUUGAAAAAUACGAGUACCAUUCAAAAAGCUCCUUUUAAUAGCAUCCCAUUACUCAAAACAUAAUGACAACUAUGUCAUGAUCCAAUGGUACCCUGAGACUGUAGCUUCAGUGACAGUUACAGGAGGAGAAUUUACAAGUUAUACAACUGAAAAUGACUCCUAAUAACUUUACACAGUAAAGGAAAUAGGAAAGUUGUUACUUAGCAAAUGGACAAAAGGCUGAAGGUAGAAAUGAUGAACAUUCAGAAGGUUUAUGAUUAUGUGCUUACAUAAACACGAGCCCCUUGCCUCUUCAUCUAACCAUGGUGUUGUCAAGUGCCAAACCAAUGUCCAAGAACCACCGCUCAUCGCUUACAUAUGUAAGAGCUUCUUCAAAGAUUUCAUAUAGAGGUGCCACAAAAUCCUGUGAUCUUGAUAAAUGGAUUUCCCAUAGUAUUUCCUGCAUGACAACUUCCCAUCAAAGUUCCCUUUUUCUUGUUCCACUCUUCCCAUUAAUAUUUUCCCUGAAACAUCAAUCUUUCCUUGUUCUUCUAGUGCUGUUUGACUUAAAAAGCUGGUUUCUGAUGUUACUAACGUGUACAAAAGCUUUCCUUGCACAAUUAAUAUCGAUAGUUGAAAAAAAUAGUUUCGCAAAAACAAACUCAAGAGCAUAGAUAUCUUGCAACCAGUCGGGUUUUCCUUGUUACCUUUUUUCCCAAAUAACAACCCCAAUAAACCAUCCUGGUCCAUCAUGAGAGAAUCACUCAAGAUGUUUAUAGAAAAAACCUAUGCCAUUUUUUGGGACUGACCAUCAACUGUAAUCAGUAUAUUUUCUUUAUUUCCAGUAGGCUUCCAAACUUAGUGACUGCAUUCAACUCCAAUGAACUCAAUUUGGCCCUCCUCUGUUGUUAAAUACCAAAUCAAUGAGAUUCUGAUAAGUCCAUAUUUUCUUUUUUCUGGCUUCAGGUUCAAGGGAAGAGUACAUCUCUUCACAACUUUGAAGGAAAUUCCCUUUGCCAAAUGCAGAGAGAACCAGAGGAUCAGUGUUCAUUUCAACAGCUUCAUCAAGAAAUCCUGUCCUUCUCCAUGUAUUUAAAGCCAUAGUUCCAUUAAAACCAAUCCUAUUAGCAUCAAAUAGAAUCCCAACAGUGACUAUAUCUGGUUUCACAUGACGGGUUGAUAGUUCCAACAGCAAGAUUCUCAAGCGCGUAAAAUCUUUCAUCUUCAAGUAAGCUAGCAAGAUAGUAUUUGCCACUGUUGCAUUCCAUGGAACAUUUUUUGCUUCCAUUUCCUUAACAAUGGAGUCCAAGCCUUUUCGACUCAAUAGACAAGCAUGAGAAAGGAGACGCAAACACCAAACAAGAUCAGUUCUACUGGUUACAGAAGCAAGAUUGAGUCCCAUGUCAGCCAAUCUCGAAAACUUGUAGUUUUCAAUGUAAACUUCAGCCAAUUUCCUAAUCAAAUCAUCCUUUAAAGAGGUUUUUGAGUUCAAAACCCUUCUAUAAGCAUUUUCCAUUUUCUCUAUGAUCCCAAAGUUGGCAUAAGCCUCAAGCAUCACAACCAAAGUAGAAGAUUGCAAACCCAUCUUCUUUGAAAGCACAGUCUGAAAAACCCGUUCCAUUCUUUUGAGCAACCCACCACGGGAAAAUUCUUGAAUCAGCAAAUUGUAAGUAAUGUGAUCAGGUAAACACCCAUCUGACUCCAUUUUCUUCACACACUCAUCAAGCUCAUCAUACAUUUUGUAUUUUCCAUAGGAUUGGAUAAGCCCAUCAUAGGUUUCAGUAUCUGCAAUCAAAUUAUUCGCCUUUAAUUCGUUGAGAAAAUACAAAGCUCUAUCGAACUCCCCCUUUCUAGCAAAACAAUGAAUAACUAAAUUGUAGAUCUCCAAGGAAGGUUUAAGACCAUGAGUUUUCAUCCCUUCAAGUGCCAACACUGAUUCUUCUGCAAGAUCCUCUUGACUUAGCAAUCCUAUAAUCUUUGCAUAGUUGAAUUCAUUAAUUCUUGAUUUGUCCAUGUCCUUCCACAGAUGAAACACCUGUUCACAUUUCCUAAAAUUUCAUUAUUCAAUAAGAAUUUCCAAAUCCCUAUUACCCAUUUCCCCAAUAUUCUAUUUGGUUAAAAAGUUAAAAUUUUGAAACUCAGAUUUUUUGUUAGUGGCUAAAAAUACACCCCAGGCAAAUGCGCCUGAUUCAACUAUUGAACUUAGUUGAAUCCAAUUUCAGUUUCUUCUCUUUUUCCCAGCUUUCUCAGCAACCAAACAGAGGGUAAUUUUUCUAGCUAAUCACAAAAAACGUAUAUCCAAUCAGCAAAUGCCGAAAACCCCAGAAUCGAUUCUUUUUUAUUUUUCUAUUUUUGGUGUUACAAUAUGAGAAAGAAAGUGCAAAAGAAGAAGAAGCAGGAAAAUUACCGGAAGAAUCUCGCUGGACCUGGAGGCAUCUUUGAGGAAUCGGAUGACAGCCCAGAAGUGUUGUUUGUUCCAAUCCCCAUCAUCUCUGAGUAGUUGCAGAGGGCUUGAAGCUUUGUUGCUGAGCUUUUGAAUCAAGACUCCGAGCCUCUCGUUCUCAUGGAGGGUUUCAACAAGGAGGGUGGUAUGUUUUGUGGGAUUGUUGUUGUGGGAUAAUUGGAGAUGGUGAGUCUGCAAGUGAGAGUGGGAAUGUGAGGAGAGAGAGGAAGGAGUGAAGAGGGUUUUGGGUUUUAUGAUUAGGAUUUUGGAGAAGAGGAUAUUGGUGUUGAAAAGGCAGGUCUGUCUCAGUGUCGCUCUGCAACAAUGGAUAUCCAUAAUAUGCUGCUGCUAUUCGUUUUCCACCCUCCUCCGCUCAAAUGGUACGCCGUGUGGCUUUUUUUUUUUUUUUCCUUUCCUUUUCUCUUUCUUGUUUUUUAAUAUUAACUAAUUAAUUAAUCUAACUGGCCAAGGGAUGCAUAUGGGCUUGGACUCUGGGUGGGUGGAUGGAACUGCAUUCUCACACCUGAGCCAGGGCCCAGCAACUCCCAGAGCAAGAGCAACACUUGAAUUCGAAGUUGUAAUAUAAGAUAAAUGAAGAAGAGAAUCAAUCACAUGGCUUUGUAUUUCUCCAGAAGAUUGUUGAUUAUCACUGCACUGUAAUGCCAGCCAUGUAUUGAUCAACAUAUCCUCAAUCAUUGAAAAAAUAAAUCCUUAAAUAUUAAAAUUAAUUGUUAUAAAUUCUUUUUUUCCCAUAGUGUUAGAUAACUAACUUUAAAUUUUAAUUCCUAACCAAUAAAAUUAGAAUGGGCAAUACAUAAGAUUCUAACCCUCCAAAAAUUAUUUUAACUUGGUAACUUAAUAGAUUUUUUUUAUUAUAAUAUCUUUACACAUGUCCUCGUUCUAUAGGUUUUUUAUUGUAAUAUCUUUACACAUGUCCUUGCUCCAUAGGUUUUUUAUUGUAAUAUUUUUCCACAUGUCCUCAUUCUAUUGGUUGUAAUAAGGAGGUACGGAAUCGAAAAACACUUUUUGGCACCAAAGCAAAACCCUUAAAAUGGAAUGCUUUUGGCUCUAUAGCAUGGGAGGUUCAACCAAGCUCAACCCAUAGAUAAGUAAAGUAAGCUCCAAGGUAUCUUAGAACCCAUCAAAAUCCUUGCCUCUAAAUAUGUGAUAAAAAGAUUAAAAUACAAAAAUAUAAACUAACAAAACUCGAAUACAAUCGACCCGAUCGAUGAUGUAUUUUCGACAGCAUAACAAGAACUCAAACUGAAAACAACUCUGGCAGUCAUCCCUUCAGAAACAUGAAACUAACGCUACCAACUAGGCAUACAAAAGACUUGAAAGGAUGUGCCUCCAAAUUGAUCUACCCUUUAUUCAACAUGCUGCAGCAUACCACACCCAUCCAUCAAUUUAAUCGAAAGAAACAACGAUGUUGAUAACGAUAACAUCGAUAACCAUAUACAACCCCAAGUCUAAGACUUGAGGCAACUGACCAAGACCUUAUGUACCCAUAAUCUACAAAUCAAUGCUAAUACCACACAAGUAUAUUUGCCUCAUUAGGCCAUAGCUUACCAGCAGAAGCUUUAUCCAUUAAAGGCAAUGCAGUUGGAUGGCAUAUCCAUCUAUCACAUAUUGCGAUAUUGCUGAGGACAUGGGUCCUAAUUUACAGAUGAGCAGCAUACAAAAGGCGCCCAGUAUGGUCUCCCCUUAACUUUCCUCUUCUCUCUCUUGCUGUCGACCGGAUACCUUGCUGGAGAGUUCCAUUCCUGUCCCAAAUCCUUAGCAGGCUCAGUAGUGGGAGCUUCAGGACCUGGAAUCGAAUUCACUUUUGUGGGAGGUGUGGCACUGCCAUUUUUGGCUGGGGCCUCAUCUUUUUGAGUCACCGAAGCUGAAUUUCCUUUUGGAGUUGGUGACUUCAGCUUGGUUUCAGUGUUAGCUUCAACCAAAAGAUUUUUCAAUGGUGUGUGUUGCUUCCCUGUGCUCCAGUUAGUAACCUUGGCAAUAACCUCUUCAUUCUUCUUUCUCCCUUGUGAUUCAUUCACAACAUUAGUAAGAGAAGGAAACCACCCAGCUUGUGAAGAUGCAGAGUUUGGCUGUUGUUGGCUCUGUACGGUCUGGAUUUCAGAAUGGGCAGAUUUCAGACCAUUCCCACCACCUCCAGGUUCAACCAAUGUGGCAAAGGAUGGUGGCUCAAAGACAUCCGAUUUGUCAGAAUCAUGUGACACAGACGCAUGUUUUGGCUUUUUCAAGGUAUCUUUCUCUGACUUGGGAGGUGCUUUGGAACCAGUCAGUUGCAAUGCUUCAGUGUCGACAACCGCAAGUGCAUCUGAUUGAGUUGAAAGGCCUGUUCCAACUAUCACAAACAAGUAAAUAACUUGAAUUUAUAAGAGUUGGACUUAUCACAAGAUGGGCACAACUAGGAGGUUAUUUUUAUGCAAAAGCUAAUGAAUAAAGAACUCAAGACCAAAAAUCAAAAGAAAAGAUUAGCUGAGUUGGAACAAUCUGGAUUGGUAACUCUGGAACAUAUGCUAAACAUUGACAAGGCAGAGUUGACCCAAAUUCUCUAACCACCCUAAUCUUUAAAAAAUUUAUAAGUGGGCCAGUUGUUGGGUUCUGAUGCUUCUUUUGGAAAUCAAAUGUAGAAAAAAAAAUAAGAUGGUUGAAAACUCAAUUUUAAACAAAGCUGGUUUGCUAAACAUGAGAAAGCUGCAGUAAUAUUUUCCACUAUAUAAAAGGGAAGUGUUAACUUACCUGAAACAGAACCCCAGUUGCCUUCCAAACUAUCAGUUUGGCUACCUGAAUCAAUUGAAACAUCAAGUGGCAAAACACCAAGCUGUCUAUCGAUAAUGUUGUUAUCACCUUCCACUUGCAAUGUCUCUGACUUAACACCAGAACCAUUCCCACCAAGCACUUUAGUUUGAUCAUCUUCAACUGCUGUCGUUGACCUUUGAACAGAAGAUUCAGCAUCAACAGACAAAAGCUUUGGCUCUUUUGUUGAUGAACUAAUACCAGAGGCAUCCCCAGCAAGCAAUCCGGUGCAAUCAUCUUCAACAGCAACUGAACUCUGAACAGAAGAUUCAGCAUCUCCAGAUGAAAGCACGGGCUCUUUCAUUGAUGAACUAAUACCAGAAGCUUCCCCACCAAGCAUUUGAGUAUGGUCCUCUUCAACAGUGGUCAAACAUUGAACAGAAGAUUCAAAAUCUCCAGUCUUCUGCAUUGACAGGUUUUCUGCAUUCUGUGUUAAUUUCUCACCAUCAAGAUUUGACUCAGCAACACCACAGACUGCACCCAAACACUGUACUUUUAUCUCAUCAUGCUUACUGAUAUCAAGUCCUUGAGAACCUUUAUCCUGGUUUUGAAGGCAAGAAUGUGUUUCUGUUAUAUCAAUUUCAACUCUGCUUGGAUCUGAAACUUCAUACAAAUCCUUGUUUUCAGUUUCAGGUAAGUUCCUCACGGGCACAUUCAUAUCAUCCUCUGCAGCAACCUGGGAUUCAGAUAGACUGCUUGCAAAUUCAGGGGUACUUAUCACAAUAUUUUCCUCUCCUUCCCUGCUUUCCUUUUCUGUUAUCUCACAUUUUUUUAUUUCAACCUUGUCAUGAUUACCAGCACUGUCACCUCCAAGUGCAAUAUUUUUCUCUUUAGAUCCUUCUGUGCUUUCCUUUCCAGCUAUCUCACAUGUUUCAAUUUUGACAUAUUCAAGAUCACCAGCACUGUCACCUUCAAGUAGGUUGAUAGUUUGAUUAGCUUGGGAGUUAGCGACAGUGCUCACACAUUCAGAGGCUGUUUUCCUGUUCUCUGUAAGAUUUCCCUCAGUAGCUCCUUCAGUAAUGUUACUUCCAGCCAUAUCAAAAUUUUCUAUUCUAGCCUUCUCAUGAUCACCACCACUGUUGUUGUCUACUAAGUUGGUUUUUUGACAAAUUUCAGUGUCAAUGGGAGAAACCAUUGUGUCAGGUAAAACCAUGGUUGCAUUUUCUGGCCAGACCUCAAGUGAUUCCUUGCUAGAAUCAUGAGGUCCCUGUUCUUCAAGAGAACAAAUUGUCUGAUUUUUAUCAAGUUCACUCCCAGAGUGCUUUGCAGGAGCACCAAAUUCAUCUAAUCUAGGGUUUUCACAGAUUGCAACCUUGAUUUCAGAAACACCAGCUUCCCCUUCAACAGGCACGGUAGGAUUUCUGCAAACAUCAUCCUGUUUAAGGUUAUCUUCAAAAGCUUGAACAUCUGAAAGAGAUGGACCUGUGCAACCAGCCAAUUGCCUUGACUGGAUACCAAAAUGGUUCUCCUCAGAAACAGGCACAGUAGUAUUAUCUCCCAUAUCCUUGAUCAAUUCACAAGAGUCUAAGGUCACAGGUAAGUUAGAUUUCACCACAUCAUGAUCGCUAAAAUAUUCAACUGCGGUCACAGGAUUGUCUACUGCAGGUAUACCAUCAGGCUCUGAAAGCACAGCUUCAUUCUCUUCUCCCUUUGCCUUGAAAGAAUCAACCAAAUCACCAGAAGUUACUAAAUAUGAUCCCUGUGCAGCAUCAUCCUGAAUGCAAGCAGUAUCAGCAGAUGUAUCUGUCUGUUCAAUAGAUUUAAGGCCAGGGGAGAGAUCCCUUGGGGAAGACUUGAAUACUACCCCACCACUUUGGUCUUCCUUUACUUCAACAAUUCCAUCAACUGCCACAGGAUCCAAAGGUUUUACAUCUAUCUUCUCUGAUUUCGACCCUACCUCAGAUGUUUCCCUUGCAUCUUCACUCGUUGAGAGAGCAGUGUCCAGUAAUUUUCCAUCGAUCACAAGUAUAUUUUCGUUCUCUUCUCCCUUUGCCUUGCAAACCUCAACUAAAUCGCCACCACUUGCAGAACAUGUUCCCUGUGCAGUAUCCACCUGAUCAUGAGCAGUGUCAGCAGAUGCAUCUAUCUGUUCAACAGAUUUAGGGUCCAAGGAGAGACAAGUUGGGGAAAUUUUAGCUCCUCUCCCAUCAGUUUGAUCUUCCUCUGAUUGAACAAUAACAUCACCUUCCACAGGAUCCAAAGUUUUUUCAUCUGUCUUCUCCGACUUUAACCCAGCCUCAGAUGUUUCACCAGCAUUUUCAUUGGGUGAGACUGCAAUUUCGAGUAAUUUUCUAUCUACAUUUUUUUCUUCAUUCUCCAUUGCAUCAGUCUUCUGCUCAAUCAGUGCCAUAGGGCUUUCCCCGAUAUUCCCACUUAAAGGGCAUUCCAUGAUCCCCUCAACAGCAUUAGUCUUGCAAUCCUCUUGUGGUGCCUCUGUUGGUGUUUCAGGUUUGAUGGCGGACAAGUUGCAUGCUGAAUCAUUUCCAUCCCCACUAAGCCAUAAAGUUGAUUCUCUAGUUAAGUCUUCUGAAAUGGAUCCUGCCACUGAACCAAGGGAAGAACUUGGCACAUGAAUAUAUAAUUUAGGUUAAUCUUAAACUUCAAUCUUGUACAUCAAUUCAAGCUUUUGGUUAUCAUAUUUCAAUAACUUAAUUUAGAAUACAUACAGCUACAUUUUUUGGCUUUUUUUAUUUUCUUUUUUUUUUGUAGGCAAAGACGCAGUUAAGAGCAUAUUAAAAGAAACAAGACGUCCAACGGCAAACGUAAAACAUACAGAAGGUAUACAAUAGGUGCCUAUAGGCUAAAAACAAAAGAAAGAGGGAUACAAACAACUUACCCACCCUCAUCUAUAGCCCACCCACUCAAAAAAGUUAAACAAAGAAUUAGGCCCAUCAACAAUACAACACUUGGACCAAGACCACAAAUUGCUAACAAAAGAAUAUUUCAUCCUUUGGAUCGAAAGAUCCUCAUUUUCAAAAGCAACCUUGUUUCUUUCCCUCCAAACCAUCCAAAAGAGGCAUAAGGGGGCUGCUCUCCAAACCUUCACCCGUUUCUUGCCCACAAACUGCCCAUACCGCCCUAGAAGGAUCUCCUUCAUUGAAGGAGGAAGCACCCAUGGUACCCCAAAAAGGUUAAUUAACAAGUCCCACAAAAUCCUAGCCUUGGUGCAAUGAAUUAAAAGAUGAUUUAUAGACUCUUCAGCAGCCCCACAAAGGUAACAUCUAUUCAGGAGAGCCCAACCCCUCUUCUUUAGUUGGUCCAAAUUUAGAACUUUACCCCAAGUGGCUUCCCAAGCAAAAAAACUGACCUUAGUAGGAACAUAUGGGCUCCAAAUAAUACUUUUUGGAAACGGGACUGUGCUGCUACCCUCCAAAGCACUAUAAAAGGAUUUUUUUUUAUUUAUUUUUUUUCAAUCAAGGCCUACCAUUCAGUGACUUUAAAGUUUCUUUUGGGACAAAAUUUUAGAAUAUAAUUUUUGGGUUUUAACAAACGAAUAUAAACCAUAAACAAUUAGGAGGUUUGUGCUUCUGUCAUUGGAAUGAUCACACAAAUAGGUUUUGAACUUCCCUCCUGGAGCAAGAGAUACAAUUUCUCAAUUUGUUUUAAUUUUUAAAGCCCAUAUUAUCCAUCAUUUGAUUUCCAAUUCUUUACAAGCAGAUCAUACAUCAGACUUGCACAUUUAGAUUUUCUGUCCAUCAUGUAGGUCUACCUCAUCAAAAUUGAACAUUUCAGAACAACAGUAUUUUGAUGUGCGAAACUAAUUAUUGUGAUAUCAUUGUUUCAUUUAAGGGGGGAAAUUUUCGCCAAAAUUAAGAAAAUAUAAUAUACUUUAUAAACUAAAGUAUAAAUAACUUUCACACAAAAAUCCUUAUUUUUUAAGUUUCUUUGCUUUAUCUUUUAUUUAUUGUGAGAAAUAAAAUGCUUAUGUUUUUUCAUAUAACUGUUUAACUGUUUGAAGGAUGUUUUAGUAAACACAAUUAAUGAAAAUUAAUAAAACUUAUUUUUCUUUGAAUUAUUUUCCACCAACAGUUUACCAUAACAAUUUAUAUAACAGAUAACUUGUGUGAUUAAUGUGUUUUAACUUUCAUAACCAUAUUUGAAUGACUUAUUGACUGAUGUUGGAAAAUUUUCAAAUUAUAAUAAUUUAUUAAAUUAUUGCACAAGUUUUUAAUUUAAAAUUCUUAUCUUAUUUAUCAAAUAUCAUUAUUAAAAUUUGCCCCUCUAAAUUGUACUCAUGGCCCCACAACUGGUUUUGUUCAUGUUGGUUGAUGAGAUGAAUUCAAUUAAGGUAAUGAUUGAUGAUAUAUUGGCAUGCUAUUAAACAACGAUAACUUAACCUCCAAGUAAGACAAGAAGCCUUCAUUGAACUGAAAUCAGAUUCUAACAACAAUAAGGUAUUAUUUGAUGAUAAGACAUGUAUGAAAUUUCGUCGCAUUUUCCUUCUUAGGACCGUCUAUAUUUGUUUAACUAUUAGAAUACAUAACUUUUUUAUUUCUCACCAAACUGCUAACUAUCAAAGAAACCAAUAUUUUAAGAAGCAAGUGAAGAAAAAAGACAACAAAAAAUAACAAUCUUAGACCUAAACCUUGAACCUCUGUUUGUAUUGUUACCAGGUUCCCUGUCUUAUCCCAUUACUCUAGGUUAACACCUUCCCUUGGCCAACAGGAUUCAAUUCUGUGCUGCUAUUUCUUUUUCCUUUUCAUGUCCUUUGGGCGUCCCUGCCUCUAUAUUUUACACGUAUCAAAAGGUUGAUCCCAACCACUAUAUUUUCUUUUUUCUUUUUUAUUUUGCUCACUUUUGAUCAAUCUCAUAGUCACUUUAGGUCUUUGAUUCACAUCACCAAAUUAUCUUACCCAAUUUUACCUUAUUUGGAAACUUACACGGGCUAGUCUUAAGGGUCAUUUCAUACUAUAACUUCUGAUUUUCUGCAUAUCCAUAAUGCAUUAUCAAAAAAUCAACAUAAAUUCAGCAAGUCCAUGGUUUUUUUGGCCUGUUAACCUAUUCAAGGCCAUCCACACAUCACUUUAAAACAAUCAAAUGAUACUAGAAAAGAUGAUGACAAAUAUAAGAAUACAAUAAUAAAAUACUAUACACUAAGUUUUAGAUUAUCUUAAGGUUAUGUUUGGUUCCUAGAAAAAUUGAUGGAAAAUGUAAGGGAAAUAAAAUAGAGAGGAAAAGUAGAAAGAAAGAGAAAAAGGAAAAAAAACUAAAAAUAGAUUUAAAGCCAAUAAAUUUUAUAUGCUACAUAGAAUUCAUUUCACCAAUUUCAACUCUUCUAGCCCUAAGGACCUAGGUCAAGUGGUAAAGAGGUGAGGAGGGUUUGUGGGCGGUAAUAGGUUCAAGUCCUAAAGUGGAUAAAAAUUUACCUAUUAAAAAAAAAAUCUUCUAUAUAAAUGAUUAAAUAAUUUGAAAAUGCAUAAGUUUGUAACUAAUAUUAAUUAUACUUGAUUUCCUUUCAUAUUUUCCCUAGUACCUUAGCACUUUUCAGGAACCAAAAAUAGCAUAAGUCUUUAUUUAAACAUGCCUUUGGCAACUAUCAACCCCAUUGUUUUAUAUUCUCGGUCCCACAUAAGAGAAGUGCAACAACUGAUAAGUUUUUUUUUUAUGAGCAAUUAUUUUUUAAACAUAAUCAAAUAUACCAUUGGAUCAUAUCCUUAUCAAUGAAUCAUUAAUUAUACUUAAAUUAAAUAGUUAUUCUUCAAACCAUUAAAAGCUGACCUGUAAUUGAAUUAUCUUCAAGCGGUUGUUUGGCAUCGAAACCAUCCUUUGCUACCUUUUCCACAUUAGUAAUAGAUUCUCUAGCAUCCUCCAAAACUUGUUCAAUUCCAGGACUAAUUCCACUGUCUGAAAAUUCAGUAACUGCAUCUGAAAACACUUCAUCUUCCAUUCUAUUUGAUCUUUCCCCGAUUCCACCGGUACCAAUCCCAUUUUUACUUGUCUCCACAUUUUUUGGACCUGACAGAACCAAAUUCACCAUGUGACCACAUUAAUUAAUUCAGGAAAAUUAACUCUCAUUUUAGUUUACCGGAAAUGUGAAGGAAACAGAAAGAAAAUGAAAUUAGGAAUCUUCUGUCCCCGAGAACAAUCUUUUGUUUGGUUCUGUUUUAGUUCCAAAAAGUGACAGCUAUACUGAACCAGCCAAAUGUUUCUAUCAGAUACAGUUGAGGACAACUUUAUAUAUCUCUCUCUUUCUUUUCUUUUUCUUUUUUUUUUUUGUCUCAGCGUGCUCAACAUUGAAACCUUCAAGGUUCGAAAUUCUAUUCUCUGCUCUUUCCCUUUAUCAUCCCAGCAAGCAAACAAAGUAAAAAAAAGAAAAAAAAAAAGGUUCAUUAAAGAAAACAAUAAUUCUUACUAGGGGUUUUAUUAUCAUCAUCUGAGGGGUGUUCAUCAUCAUCUGAAACUGCUGAAUGGGUGCUACCUUCUGAGUGAACAAGCUUAUACCCUUCAACUUUCCCACAGACUCUCUUGUGGGCUCGUCUGUGCUUCGCACUCGGAUGUGGGUUAGGGAAUGGCCACCCGCAUUUGUGACAAAGAUGAACUCCAUGGCUCUCUUGGCCUGCAAAUUCAGCAAAACCCCCAUCAAAAUUCUUCCACAAAAAGAGAAAUUUUCCAAAUAAAAAUACCCAACCCCGUUUGGUUGGUCAGAAAACCGUGGAAAAUGCAGUAAAGGUCGGGAUCUUAUGCCUUUCAUCAUCGUAUUCUCCAAGAAAUGAAAGACCCAACUCAGCUACUUAGGUUACAACUAGGUUUUCCUUCUUUUCUUACACUCUCUCACUAACCAAACGAAACAAAUCAACAACCAAACUUAACAACAAAACCCACUAAAGAUCUUUCAUUAGCAAGCAACCCCAGAAGAAAACAAACAAAAAAAAAAUCAGCAAAAUCUCAAUUUUCGCGCGUUAGGUUAAACGCACUUCAAAAGAUUCACAACUCAUUUCUUUUCCUCCCCUACAUUUCCUCACCAACCAAACAGAGACAAAUCACCAACCGAACUAACACAACCGAUUAAGGAUCUUCCACUAGCAACCAACCCCAAAAGAGGAAAAGGAACACAAAAACAAAAUCCAGUAAGCGAGAGUUAAAAAUCAAAAACCAAAACCCCAUCUAAAAAGAAAAAAAAAAAAGAAUAAAAAUCAAAACCUAUGAAUAAAAACUAAUACAAACCUGACUGUUGGGUAAUCUUGGCGUGAUCUUUGGCAUCCAUUGUAGAGAAACGAGGGAAAGAGCAAGAGGAAAAAAAGAAAAAAGAGAGAAAAAGAGAGGAAAAGACUUGAAUCUAGAGUGAGAAAAGGUUGGAGUUGGUCUAAUAGUGCGCGUGGACUCUUCGUAUAAAUCUCGGUAUCCACACUAACAACUUAGACCGAGACAGACGCACGGAUCAUAUAGAGAGAGAGUGAGGAGAGAGAAAGUUGUACUAGUCUCCCCAUGUGCCUCUGCGAAGGGGGGACGUCAUGGCUACAAUCUUCUGCGAUUGGGCACACGAUACACAUGCAUGAACCCCUGCUUUACGUUGUUGUACUCUUCGAUUACUUACCUUUUUCUAUACGGUGGUACACACAAUUUAAGCAUGUCAGCGUCGAAAUCUGAAAAUGAGAGUAGCACGUGCCAUGCAUGUGCACUCAUAGUCCCGCAAAUUUAUGAUAAUAUUUUUAAAAAAUGGAGAAAAAAGUAGCUUUUUAUGAGAUAUUUGUAAAUGCAGGGACCCUUUAACUCCCUUUUUUUUUCUAAUAUUUAAAAUUUUUAAUUUUACAUUAAAAAUAUUUUUUAUGAAAAUUAAAUAUUUAAUAUUUUUUUAAAAAUCUAAAGAAUUAUUACCAAAAAUAAUAUCAAUAUUUUUUUAUUUAUACCCAAACAUUAAAUGUAUUUUGUUUUAAAUUAAGUGGGAUAAAUUUUUUUAAUAACUUUUAAAAAUUAAAAAAUUAUCUAAGUGUCACAUAAGUCUAAUUAGCAACAGUUUUUAAUAAUAAUUUUUUGUUCUUUAAAAUAAAUAAAAACAGUCAAACAUCUUUCAUAAUUAAAAAACUGUUUUAUAUUUUAUAUUCUUAAAAAUAAAAAAUUUAUGAAAAAACAUAUUUGAGUUAAUUUUCACUUUUUUUUAGGACUAUUUAAAAAAAUAAUUAUAUAAAUAAGUAGAAUAAUAAAAAAUAAAACACUAAAUAUAAAAAUUAUUUUUAAAAUAUAUUUAAAAAUAUUCAAAACAAAUUAAAAACAUUUCAGAUUUUUAAACAAAUUUUUAUUUUAAAAAACUUAAAAGAACGGUUUUCAAAAAUUAUUUUUUAAAAUUAUUUUCGAAAAUAGUCAUCAAAGGGGAAGUAAGUGAUUCUUUCAAAAAUCAAUUGUUUUAUAUAACAUAUUAUCAAAAUAUUAUUUUAUUUAUAUCUAAAUAUUAAGUAAUUAACUUUAAAAGCAUUUUUAUAAAACGCUAAUAAUAAAAGCACUUCAAACUUAAGCAAUUUGACUAAAAAGUAAAAUCACUUUUAAAUGGGUUGUAAAUAUUUAAUAGUUAAUAUUUAAUUCUUAUUCCAUUUUAUACUAUACUACUUAAGACUUAAGAGUCCGUUUUACCUCCUUUAUCAUCCGGGAUUCUAAAUUAAUUUAAGCUCAAUUAAGACGAUGUUCAAGUUAACAAACGUAUUGGGUUAAUAAUGGGGAAAAAAUAUUUAUCUUAUAACAUUUUUUUGGUUCUUUGUAUUUUUUUUUUUCAAAAUUUUAAAAUUCCAUUUAUUUUAUUGUAAAAAUUUUAUUAUGAGAUGAUAUGAUAAAUUUUUUAGAUUGUAAAGUCUGAAUCAAUUUUAUUGUGUUUCGUCCAGGAUGUCGAGUGUCGAGUUAUCGGAUGAACUCAUAAAAAGUUUCAUCAUUAUAAUUCUUCUUAUUCAUUUUAAUUUGUGGAUUAUACUUUAUGAUUAUAAAGAUCACAUUCCUCGUCAAAACAAUAUUAAAAAUCUUGUAUUUUUAUUUAUUUUCUAUUUUUGUUUUGAUUAACAAAAUUAUAUAACAAGACUUGUACGUGUAGACAAAGCCAUUACUUCAUGCAUUGACCAAACUCAAACCUAUGAUACAAAAAAUUAAACGUACGUGAUAUGGCAAAUAAAUUCUAAGAGAAAGACAUUAUUUAAUAAUUUAUUAUUUUACUCUUUUAUAUUUUAAUCAAAUGUAAAAUAUGUUACACUUACAUAUAGUGGGGAACAUAAACAUCUUUCAUUAAUGUAAAUUAAUUAAUCUUUAAAGUAAAUAUUAGAUCUUUUCAUACUUUAAUUAAUACAUGAAUCCAUCAUCCAAAAAACAAAAAAAAGUUAAGAGUAAAUAAAACGAUAAAUUUUAACAUCUUAUAGUUGGAGUUUGACACUUAUCCAUAUUCUAUUAGAUAGAAAAUAUAUAUCUAAAAAUAUGAUUUAUAAGAAGAUAUAAUAUUCUUAGAUAUUAAAUUUUUUAAGUUAUGUUUUGUUUCCUAAAAAUAUGAGAGAAAGAAAAUAGAAAUGAAAAGUAGUAGAAAAUAAAAACAAUGGAUUUAAAGUAAAUAAAUUAUUUUUAUAUACUAUUUCAAAAAAAUUUCACUAAUUUAACCAUUUUAUAUUAAUAUUAGAUAAUUUAAUAUACAAUUUUCUUAAUAAUUUUAAUUAUAUUUAACUUUCUUUCAUAUUUUCUAUAAUAAAACCAAAUAUGAUAAAUUAACAGUUUUUGUUCUUUCCCAAGUACUUUCCAGGAACCAAACAUAAUAUUAAUAUAUCAUAUUCCACUAAAUUGAAAAUGCAUAUUCAAAAAUAUGAUUUUCGAUAUGAUAUAAUAUCCUUAGAUAUUAAAUUUAAUGAAUAUGAUAUUGUAAGGUAUUAUAUUUUAUAUAUGUUAUGAUAUAUUUAUAUUUAUUUUAUAAAAUGAAUCAAAAAAUAAAAUAGAAUAUGUGUUAUUUUUCAUUGUUUAAAUUAAAAAUUAUAUUGUAUUCCAAUAUUUUUUAUUUUUUAAACAAUAUGAAAUCUUUAUUGCGAGUUCAACAAUAUUUAUGAUUAAAAUAUUGAAGUUAUGUUGGGUUGUUUGGAUAUAAUGUGGAAUAAAAUAAUAGAGGAGAUAACAUAUCAUAUCCUAAUUUGUAAUGAGAUAAGAUAAGUUACUCCAUUGUAUCAUAUUUAUAACCAAAUAUGAAAUACGAUAAGUGUCACCCUCCUUUCUAUAUCCCUUCUAUAUGAAAUACGUUAAUCUUAAGUUAAAAUGUAUGAUAUUCAUCCUUCAUAAUUAACUAUAUAAGAUGUAGGAUAUCUUAUCCACCCUCUUUUGUUAUUAAUUUUUUUUAUAAAGUUUAAUACAAUAAAGUUUAACAAUAUUCAUAAAUUGAGUUUAUAUUACGGUAAACUUUAUAAAUUAAAAAAUUAUGUCAUGUUAUGUUAUUAGAUAUAUACAAAUAAUAUAUAUAUAUAUAUAUAUAUAUAUAUAUCUAUAUAUAACGAAAAAUUUAAGUUUUUAAUAAAAAAAUAUUUAUUUUACAAAAUAAACAAUAUAAAAAAAAUAAAAUUUUGGUAAACAAAAUAAAUUUAUGAUAUAUAGGAAAUGUAUAUUGUACGUAUUAGCUCAAAAUUAACAUAUUAUAUGUAGAAAAGAUAUAUAUAUAAAAAAUGUAUAAUACAUAUUAACACUUAUCUUAUAUCAAGUGAUUCAUUUGAAUACAUGAUAGGAAAAGUAUAAUGAAAUAACUUAUCAUAUCCUAUCGCCAAUUAGACAUGCAGACAUGUUAUUCACUCUUUUAACUUAUCUAAUCAACCAAACAUAGUCUUAUUGUAAAUUAAAUAUAAUUAUACAUUUAAGUGGGGUUUGACUUUUAUAAUUCACUUUUAAUUUACUACUAUUUAUUAUUUUAAAUAAAUUUUCAAAUCAAAAUUUAUUGGGACAAUAUUUAUAAAAUAUUAAUAAUUUCAUAUUUGAAAAUUAAUUUUAAUUAUUAAUUUUUAAUAAUUAGUAAUGAUUUGUGUAUCAAUUUUAAUUAUUAAUUUAUAAUAAUUAGUAAUGAUUUGUGUGGUAUCUUUUCAUACUCAUGUCAUUCUUAGUGAUUUUUUUAUUUUAAAUGAAUUUUAAAAUUUUGUUUUAUUUAUUAUUAAUAAUUAUUCUUGUGUUGGGGAGGGAUUUAGAGUUAAUUAACUUUUAUAACUACUAUAAACAAUUUUAUGUUUUAAUUGAAUUAAAAAGUUAAAUUUAUAAAAUAAUUUAGGGAUUUUAUGAGUGAUUUAUCAUUUUAAUUUUUUGUAUAUGGAGAUUUUUAAAUAAUUAAUAAUAGUUAUUAGUUUAAAUUUUAAGUAAAUAAUAUUUUUAGUUAAUUUUUUAUAAUUAUUUUUUUUAUCUUUAAUAAUUAAAUUUAUUUAUUUGUUUGAUUUUGUGCAUGAACGAUUUGCAUUUAUGAAACUAAUUUCUUUUUGCUUCAUUGUUUGGAGGAAUAAUUUUAAAGUUACUAAAAUAGCCUUCCAUAAAAGGUUGUAUUUUUAAACAAUAUUUUAAUUUCAAAUUACAUUAAAAAUUGCUAUUAUUUUUUAUUUUUUAACAACAUUUGAUAGAUAUAAAGUAAAGUAGUACUAAACUCUAAACCAUAGUUCAACACUUGAUUUAUCUAUGUGGUUGAAUAAAACAAGAAUUUUGAAAAAAGUUAGAAAAUAUUUUUAUGCAAUUAAUUAUUUUAAAAUAUCAUUUUUUUAAACUGUAAUAUUCUACAUUGGAUUUUGGAGAAAGUUACUAGGGUUAUAUAAGUAUAAAUUACUCUUAAUUUUGUAGACACAUUUUUCAAGCCGAAAGGAUCCUUUAGACUAAAGUGAAGAACAUUUACACGGUUGAGUGAGUCAAUAAGGACGUUAUAUUUAUAUGAGGGUGUUUAUGAUGUCCAACAUUAUCGAAUAUGAAAAAAGUAAAAAGUUUAUAGACUUCUCUUAAUUUUAUAAAUGUGUUUUAAAGUGGUGGGUGUUUCUUUUGACCAGUCCAGUUAGAUACGGGUUCUUAUAAAAACAUUUUUAAAAUGUGAUUUUGAUAAUAAUAAUAAUGAGAAAAAUGAAGAUGGAGAAGCAAAUUAAUUGAUAAUGGGAUGUUGGGGUUGGUGUGGUGUCUUAAAAUAAAUGUGGGUUUAAGGGAGGGGGGGGAACAGGAGGAGUGGGCAUAAUUUAGUGGGACCCACUCGAAAGACUUUUGUCCUCUCAUAUUCUUUAUCACGUGUCUUUCAUUUCUUGAGCAACUAAAGCCUUUCCCCAUUCUCCACCAAACCAUGCAAUAAUUUUUUAUUCAUUUAUUGUCUUUUAAAGCAACCCCUACUUGAUGAAUACUUUGACAUUGUUUGAUUUUUUUUUUUAAGAUUUUGUAUUUUUUUUUUGGUGCAAAAUUGUUUUAUUUUAAAUUCCAAGUCCCUCAAGAGCAUCUCAAAAUUAGAUCAUCUUUUGUCUCUAACCUUUUAGUUAGUUUUGAAUGUUUUUUUUUUUUAGAGUUUUUUUCAAAACAUAAUUAUACUAAUAUAACUAAUGAUUAAAAAUAAAAUAUUAUAAAUAAGAAUUAUCUUUUUAAAAUAUCCAUAAAUGUAAAAACAAAUUAAAAAUAUUUCAAAUUCUCAAAUAGACUUUUAUUUUAAAAAAUAUUAAAAAAUCGUUAUAAAAAAAAAAUUGUUUUAAGAACUAUUUUUCAAAAACGCUUCCCAAAUAAAUCCUUAGGAUCUAUUUGAUAAUAUUUUUAUAUAUAGAUUUCAAAAAUGAUUUUUGAUAAAAGUUCUUAAAUAUUACUUUCAAAUUGCUUUUAAAUAUAAAAUUUUGUUUAGGAUUCAAAUAUGAGAAAAUGAUUUCCUGGAUUUAUUCUUUGUGAUGACAUUGUGUAUUUAUAUAUAAUUUUUAAUUUUUAAUUAUUUAUGAAUACGAUUUACAAAAAAAAGUCUAAAUGUAUUGUACAUUUAUAUACAAUGUAAAAGUUCUAAAAGUGUUCUUCCCAUUUUUAGUUGUUUCUUAAUAUCCUUUACAAAAAAUAUGAGAACAUCUUAAAUUCGAAAAACAAGUUAUUUAAAAAAAAUUAAAAUUGAUUUUAAUAAAAAAUUUACCAAAUAUCUUGAGAAAAGUGAGGUUUGAUUCACUAAUUUUUAAAAAUAUAGAAAAAAGUACCUCAACUUUUAUAAAUCAGUUUUAUAUUCAUUUAUUUAAAAAUAUUUUAAAAUAUAUGCACUAUUUCAUAAGUCACAUAUUUAUUUCCUGAAAUGAUUGUUUACUUGUAACAACAACUGACAAUUUUUUUAAAACUUUUUAAACUAAGAAAUUGGAAAAUACAUUUAAAAUUUAAAAACUUUAAAGCUAAAAGUAUGAAAAUAAAAUAUUUACUUUGACUUUAUUAAAUGAUGUAGUAGACAAUAUACAUAUUAAGAAAGAGUUGAAAAUACAAUUAUACUCAAUAUUUUAUUUUUAAAGUUUUAAAGUUUUUUUGGUUUUAAUUGUAUUAAAUUUCUAUUUUUUUUAAAUUUUAAUUAUAUUUUAAUUUUUAAGUAUUUUAGUUUUAUUUGUAUUCUUAAUAUUUAAAAUUUCUUCUUUUAACCGUUGAUGUUAACUAAUAAUUUUUUUUUAAAAAUUAUUAAAAAAAACAAAGAGAAGAUGAGUAUAUUUAUAUAAUACCAUAUUUAAAAUCAUUAUUAAUUAGGAUAUUAGAAAGAUUUUAUUUAUCACUUGAGGAUAGUGAAGAAUUUUUCCAAAAUGAUUUGUAUGUAAUAUUAUAUAAUAAAAAAUUAUAAUGUGUUUAUUUAUGAGAUAAUUUUAUCAAAUUAAAAUGAUAAAAUAAUAUUUUAAUAAUUUUAUUUAAUAUUAUCAAGUAAAAUAGUGUUUUAGGAAAUAAUUAUCUUACUUAUGAAAAAGUGCAUAUAUUUUAAAAUAUUUUUAAAUAAACGAAUAUAAAACUAAUUUAUAAAAGUUAUGGUUCUUUUUUCUAUAUUUUAUCAAAUUAGCGAGUCAAAACCCAUUUUUUUCAAAUAUCUUUUUAAAUUUAAAAAUUAUUUUAAUAAACAAAAACCAUUUUUAACCAUAGUUUCCAAACAAGACUUCACAUAAAAUCUUAAAUAUAAAAGGUUUUUUUAAAUGUAAUGCUGACAAAAUAAUUUUUUGAACAACUCUUAAGAAUAAGUUUCCGUGUUUUUAGAAAUGAAAUUAUGUUUGUAAAUUAAAUUCUAAAAAAUAUUUUUUUUGUUGUUAAAAAUUGUCUUUGGUUAGGUUAAGAAAAACAGUUUUAUAAAACAAGUAAAAUAAAAAAACUCGUUUGGAUGUUCUUUUUUAAAUUAAUUGUUUUCUUUAAUUAACUUGUUUUGUAAAUACAAAUAAUUUUUGGAUUUCCAUUUUAUUAAAAUUUUAAAAAAUUGUAUCUAUUUUUAAAUUAUUUAAAAAUAAAUUUUUUGCCUUGUAAACAUGUGAUUACAUUUGAUUUCCAAUAUUUUUAUUUACACAUAUGGUAAACUUCUUAAUUAUUUUAAAAACUUUUUUUUAUACCAUAAAUGCAUCAUAUUGAAGCAUGUUUUUAUUAAGACAAAAUUUUAAUCCAAAUAUUAUGUGUUCACCAAUGCAACCAACAUUAAUACCCAUUAAUGCUAUAAAUAUUUGAUGACAAUUUUGAGAUAACAUAUUGUGAACCCCGCAUUUCGGCUCAUGCUUUUCCCACUCGAUGACGAACUCGAUUUUUAUUUGAAAAUUUGAUUUUUAUUUGAUUAAGAAAAUUGACUUGGAGUCGCCACUUAUUUUUGUUUUAUUUUUAAAGGGUAAACAAAAUAAGAAAGAAAAACCCUAAGUGUGACUCCUUGUUUUGGAAAAGGUGGUCUGUGAAAAACCGGAUCAGGUUCGGGGGUCAGGUUACUUAUCGGGAAGGUACGGUAGAGAUCGUAGCACCCCUCUAAGUCCCUAAAGUCAGGUCUCUACUAAUAAAAUGAAGCUAACGUGGCAGUUGAUAAGAAAAUCAAUGGGUACUCAAAUCGAUUAAGCGCAUAUGGGAAUCAAAACAUGCAAUAGAGAAUGACUAGAAUAGGAGUAGAUGCGUACCUGGACCACGAAUGAGCAAUAUGCUAUCAUAACAAAAUGGGGUUAGUGCACAAUAUAGAGCACGAAACAUAUCACAUCCAUCACCAAAUGGAAAUCAAAAUUGUCCGAAGGAAAGCUGGAUUUCUGAAAUUCAUUUGAAAAUUGGAGUCUUAGAGGUUAUUCGAAAAUUGGAGUUUUAAAGUUUAUCUGAAAAUUGGAUUCGUAGGAAUUAGAUGUAAGAAUGAGAAUUUUGGAAAUUAAAUUUGAAAGAGAUUGGGAUUUUGAGGGAUUAUUUGAAAGUUCGGGAUUUUUGAGGAAAACUAAGUUACGAAAAUUAGGGCUUUGGGAAUUAAAUUUUGAAAGAAAACAAAAUUGUGAGUUAUUUGAGAAGUAGAGAUUAUGAGAGUCGUUUUAUAAAAAGUUGGCAAUCUUGAAAAUCAUUUGAAGGCAAAAUUUAUAGAAAUAAUGAAUAAAACAAUAGUGACAAUGAUAAUGAUAAGUAGCGGGAUAAAUACGGGAAUUGGAGCAUGAGAAACCGAAAAUGAAGUUCGGAGAUAGGACAAUUAGAAUUUCGAAUAGCUAAACUUAGGAAUCGGAAUUUUGAAGAAUUAGACUUUAAUGGUUGAAAUUUUUAAGAGAAAUAAAUGGGUAAGUAUGGAAUAAUGUUACUAAUUAAUCAAAACGAUAUUUGGACGGAUGAAUAGUGAAUAGUGGGAUUUUGAAAAUUAAUUUUGAAAGUCGGGCCUUUGAAUAAUUGGACUCUAAUUAUUGGAAUUUUUAGAAGGAGGGUGGAAUUUAUAAUAAUGAUAGCAAAGAUGAUAUUUAAAUGAAUAAAAGUGAAUGAUGGAACUUUUUUUUUUUAGUCUAAAGGUUAAAUUUGGAAAACCGGUUUUGAAGAGUUGAAUUUUAAUGAUUGAAAUAAAUAAAUGAACAAAUAUGGAAUAACGAUACUUAUUAACAAAAAUGAUGUUCCAACGAAUAAAAUAGUGGAAUUUUUAUAAUUGAAAAUUUGAAUUAGGGCGUUGGAUUUUUAAAGGAUUAGGCUUUGAAUAAAUAGGUAGGUAUGAGAUUAUAAUACUAGUUAACGAGAAUAAUAUUUAGGCGAAUGAUGGAAUUUCUGGGAUCGAAAGUUGAAUUAAGACAGGGGGUUUUCGAAAGAUUGGACUUGGAAUAGAUAUGGAAUAAUGAUUCUAAUGGGUGAGGAUAAAAUUUAGACGAAUUGUAGAAUUUUUAGGAUCGAAAAAUUAAAUUAAGACAUGAGAUUUUUGAAGAACUAGGUUUUAAAUAAAUAGAUGAGUAUGGGAUAAUAAUCCUGAUCGACGAAAAUAAGAUUUAAACAAAUUACUAAGAAACUAAAUUAAGACGGGAUUUUUAGGGAUUAGACUUUGAAUAACUAAAUAAACAUAGGAUAAUAAUUCGAUUUAUGAAAAUAUGAUUUAAGCGAGUAUUUGAAGAAUUAAAUUAAAAACGUGGGAUUUUUGAAGGGUUAGGCUAGAUAAUAAAUGAAUGUAUAAGAUAAUAAUUCCCAUUGGGGGACAUAAGAUUUAAACGAGUAUUGGAAAAAUUAAAUUACGGCAUGGGAUUUUCUUAAUGGAUUGGACUUCGAACAACUAAUAAUACGGGAUGAUGAUUCGAUUUAUGAGAUUAAGAUUUAAACAAGUACUGGAAGAAUUAAAUUAAAGUGUGAGAUUUUUGAAGGAUUGACAUAGAUGGAUAGGAGAAUAUAGGAUAGUGGUUCUAGUUGAUAAAUAUGAGACUUAAAAGAGUAUUUGAAGAAUUAAAUUAAAACAUGUGACCUUUUUUAUAGAUUGGACUUUUAAUAAAAUAAUAAAUACGGGAUAAUGAUUUGAUUUAUGAAAAUAUGAUUUAAACAAGAAUUAAAUUAAAACUUAGGAUUUUUGAAGGAUUGACAUAGAUAGAUAGGAGAAUAUAGGAUAGUAGUUCUAAUUAAUAAAUACGAGAUUUAAAAGAGUAUUUGAGGAAUUAAAUUUUUUUAUAGAUUGGGCUUUGAAUAAAUAAUAAAUAAGGGAUAACGGUUUGAUUUAUAAAAAUAUGAUUUAAACAAAUAUUUUGAAGUAUUAAAUUAAACUUAGGAUUUUUUUCUUUUGAAGGAUUGGCAUGGAGCCUAUCAUCCACACAAACUGGGCCUGGGCUCCAACUCAAGCCCAAGUUCAAUACCUUCAUGGGCAAGCCCAAAGCAACCAUCCAUCACAAAUUUGGGCCUAAUGCCACAACUUAAGCCCAAGUCUAAAGACAUUAGUGGGCAAGCCUCAAGGUUCCAUCUUCAACAUAGGCUUGGGCCUGGGCUCCAAAUUCAAACCCAAGCCCAAAGCCAAAACCAAACACAAAAUUGGGCCUAGCCUUAACCCAAGCCCAAAAACUAAAACCUCAUCUUCUUCCCAGCUUGUUCCCUCUCGCGCCUGGCUUCAGCACCAACAGCCACCUCCUCGCGGUGGCAGCGGCGACACCACCAUGUCGGAACAGCUGCCAGAGAGCGGAAGCUAACGCGCGUCCUCUUCCCGGCGCGUCCACGUACUCCAACGCCCUCUCAAUCCCGGCGGUGCAGAGUGCGGGAAUCGCGGUCAUCUGGCGGUCCAGGCUCGCGGCGUGUGUCGAACGUCCUCUUCUCCCAGCUGCAUGGCGACGGUGUUGAGGAGAAUGUCGCAUCUGCAGCCGGCGUCGAAGGCGUCUCCCACUGUCGGUCAAUCACUGACCGCGCUGCCCAUGCGCCGAGCCUCGUCCUAACGGAGACCAUGGGAAGAGCAAAACAUGCCGUCGGCGGCAAAGAAAAGGUGGACGGCAGAGAUGGUAGAGGUGGUUUGCAUGUUUGGGCCCCAUGCGUGCAGAAGGGCGACUUCGAGAGUCCUUGCGGGGAUAGGUGUGGAAAAGGUAGCCAUACUUGCAUGGCUCCCCUGCACCCGAAGCGAAAGGGACGCCUAUGCACGGAGAAAAAGAGUUUCUACUCCUUGGAGCUCAUACAACUAAUGGGAUCCAAGAGCAAAGAUGGCCAUAACAAACGAGAAACUCAUGCAAAACCAAGCAACAUGCAUACAUUGGCGAGAUUUAUGGAGGAAAAAUAAGUAGCCAAAUCAAUCAACAAGCCUAUAAUAUUCGUACCUGUGGAAGUAUCUCUCCAGCCAAAGCCAACAGGACUCCAAGCUUCCUCCUCUAACUCCCCAGAACCCCCCCUGUCUUCCUCAGCAAGCCACUGAAAAAAUCUCCUCUGUCACCCUCUACAGCCCCCAGCUCCUUUGUUCCUCUUAUGUCCCAUCUGGCCGCCCGAGAGCAGCCCACUUAGAGCCAUCCGAAAAGCAACCAAAAAAUAAUGAUAAAUAAUCCACGAAAGCUCUCUCCUCCGGGGGGAUCUACACAUAUACAUUCACUUAUUAAUAAUGAUAAUAAUUAAAAGAAAGAUAAUAAAUAACAAAGAACAAACGAUGAUGCUACAUUCACAAUAACCAUUAUACAAAAGAUAAAUUUGAAUAUUUGUUAUAAGGAAGCAUUGGACAUCGUAGGUUGGCAAUUGGUGGUUGAGGUUGUUUUGGGUCGAACUCGUUAACCCAUAUAAAUGAACAAAUGUUCAUACAAUAAAAAAUUGUUAAAAAAAAAGAUUUAUGUUGUGUAUAUUUCAUUAAUAUCAAUUUCUUUUUAUGGGCUUAUGUAUAGCAUAAAAUCAACAACCUUAAUUUUUCUCUUUUUUUUACAUGAAAAGGUGCAUACCACUGCACCCACAAUAACACAUGCACCAUUUGUCCACUCCCCUUUUAUAAUUGUAAAUCCAAGUUAUAAAUAAUAUUUAAUCAUUAUCAAUUAGAACAGUCAUCUCAUGUUACUAAUGGAAACCAUUAUAUAUAUAGACGUUGUAGAUUAAUUCAAUAUUUAUUAUAAAAUUCAAUAUAUAAUUGAAUAAGACACAUAUUUAGAAUUAAAUAGAUUAUAGGUCAUAGAUUAACAUUGAUAUAAUUUACCCACAUUACUUGAGUAAUUUGAUUUUUAUUGGCUAUCAUAGUUGUUGCAAUCUCAUUUGAUAAAUCAAUUAAGUGGUUCGUGGCUUAUUCACUUUGUUCUAAAAGAUCUUCUACCUCAUAUUACUUGGCCAAUUGAUCAUUUUGUGCUCGAAUGAAUCUAAUUGUGAAAGGAACAAUAUGCAAUAGUAAUUGAAGGUUGUCUACUUAGGUAAUAACAAGACAUAAAUCAUGUUUUUAAAAUACUAAAACACCUUUCAAUGAUAUUCUGAAGGGAUGAAUAUUUGUAAUUUAAAAGUUUUUUUUAUACCUUUUAGGUUUAUUAUGUCUAUCAUUAUAUUCUUGUAAAUGAUAUUAUUAACCUUGACAUGGUGUUAGAAAUCCAAAUACAUAAGGAAUACCAAAAUCAAUUAAAUGAUAUUUUCCUUCACUUGGCUAAGGAAAUUAAAUUUCAGUUCCAAUAAGUACUGCAUCCAAAAAGAUAUGUGAACUGUUCAUUGUUUCUUCCUAACUAACAUAAAAAAACUUGAACAUCAUGUUAAAAUCUCACACAUGCAUAAUAUUUUUAUAUUAUAAUUAUUUUUCUACCCUCGAAAGUAGUUCAUCUAUUAGUUGGAACUAUACACUACCUCAAUGCAGUUUACAACAAUAUUAUUACUAUUAAGGGGAGAAAAAAAAAACAGCUUGUGUAUAUUAAGUACAUAUAUUUAAAUAUUAUUUAUAUAAUCUUACCUUAAACGAUGGAAACAUUUUAAGGUUAUUAGCAAUAAAUGAAAACACCUCAUUAGCUAUAUUAUUAAGAGCUACAAAAAUUUUGACUAUUCAACAUAUUGUCUAUCUAACUUCUUUAAAGUAUUGAGCAACAAUCUUUGUGGAGGAUUGAAAAUGAUGUACAACAAUCCUCAUUCUCACAUUAUGCCUUGUUAUUAGUAAGAAUAUAACAAUUACUAUGUCUUUAGUCUAACAAUUUGAAAAACUUGAUCUUUUUAUAACAAUGACAUGCAAUCCUGAGUAGAAGGAGAUUCCAGAUGAAUUAAAGGAAAAACAAAUGUCACAAGAUAGACCUAAUUUAACUUCACUGAUUUUUCGAACAAAGUUGCAAGAUUUAAUGGACUAAUUAUUUAAAAAAAAAAACACAUGUUUAGAAAAGUUGUUGCACAUGUGCAUGUGAUAGAGUUAAAAAAAAAGGAUUACCUCAGACACACAUUUUGAUCAUCUUAAAGGCAAAAUAUAAAAUUAUGAGACCUGAUUAGCACGAUAAAUUUGUGAGUGUUGAAAUUCCAGAUCCUAUAAGAUGUCUAAUUUUACAUCAAAAGUUUGGGAAACACAUGAUGAAUGACCCUUGAGGAGCAUUGAAGAAAAAUAAUUCAUGAUGUGGGAUAGCAAAUGCAAAAACAAGUAUCAUCAUCCUUUUUGUACUAAAAUAGUGCAAGCUAAGGAUUCUUAUCCAAUUUACUGUACAAGAAAUGACAAUCAAGUAUUGGUUUGUAAUGCAACAUUAAAUAAUCUUUGGGUGCUUUACAAUUCAUAUUUUUUGAUACGAUAGGUUUAUUGUAGAAAUAUGUUAUAACAUCAAGGUAGUUGAAUAUCUUUCUAAGUACAUAUAUAAGAGUCAUGAUAGAGUUACAAUUUAUGUAACUAAUAAUAAGGAUGAUGUUUUAAUUGAUGAAAUUCAAUUCAACAAUUUCAAAAUGCUUGGUGAGUACCAUCACAAAAAGCUGUAUGGAGGAUUUUUGAGUUUGAAUUAAAUGAAAUAUAUAUAAUCGUUAUUAAUUUAUAAUUACAUUUGCCAAACAAGUAAGUCGUCUUUUAUUGGGAAACCCAAAAUUUAGAAAACAUUAUUUAUUUUGAUGUUGCAUCUAAAACAAUGCUUAGAGAGUUUUUCAAUACAUGCUCUCAAGAUGAUGAAGAAAAAACAUAUUUGUAUAAAGAAUUUCUAGAGUAUUAUGUUUGGAAUAAGCAUGGUAAGUGUUGGAAUAAAGGGAAAAGUAGAGAAGUUAUUGAUUUGGUAAAUAAAGCAAACCCAUUUGAAGAGGAUCGAUGUUAUUUGAGACUUUUAUUGAAUCAUGCUAAAUGACCGACUUAUUUUCAAGAUUUAUUAACUUAUAAUAGUGUUUGAUAUUUAUCAUUUAAGGAGGUUGGACAAAAACAAAGUUUGUAAGAAUUUGAUGACUCCAUAUUGGAAUGUUUACAUAAAGUUGCAUGUUUUCAAAUGCCACUAGAAAUGCGUUGCCUUUUUGCAAUUAUAUGGGUUUAUUGUUAGCUUGUUGAUGUUAGGAAAUUGUGGGAUACUUAUUUUGGAUUGAUAUAAGAAGAUUUUUGAACCAUCCACUAAUUUACACAUGAUGCUCAAAUUAUAAGCACAUUGAAAAGUAUUGACUUCUUGCAAAGUAUGGGAAAAAGUAGUUUUGAUUAUGACUUGCCACUCAUGGAUUUAAGUGAUUUAGAUACAAACACCAUUGAAAAGAGAGAUUUUUUACGAGUUGGCUAUAAACAUUAGCAUUGAGGAUUUAAAUUCUCCAACUACUUUAAAUUUGAAACAAUUAAUUAUCUAUUUAACUAUCUUUGAUUGAAUAAAUUUUAGGACAAAUAGGGUUUUCUUCGUAGAUGGUUUAGGUGAGACUAGAAGAAUAUAUUUAUAUUGUGCAUUACUUGCAACUACCAUAUCAAGAGGAAUGAUAACCAUUGUAACAAUAACAUCAAGAGUAGUGUUUUCCAUAAUUUUAGGUGGUCGAACAUCACACCCAAGGUUUAAGAUACCCAUUAAUAUUGAAUCCAAUUUCUACAACAUAAGCAAGUAAAAUGGUAUAGUAGAAUUACUUAGAAGAGCAAAAUUGAUAAUAUGGGAUAAAACUCCAAUGACAAAGUAAUGGGCUAUUAAGGCACUUGAUAAAAAUUUAAAAGAUAUUAUAAAUACCUAAUUAGUGUUUAAUGGAAAGAUUAUUGUAUUUGGAGAAGAUUCUUGACAAGUGCUACCAAUUGUAUCUUGAGGCACAAAAGUUGAAACUAUUAAUGGAACUUUAGGCAUGUCCUACCUUGAGCCUUAAAUGAAGAACUUAAUACUAACUACAAACAUGCAUGCUUAUUUUGAUACCAUUAUCAAUGACUUCCUUUUACAUGUUGGGAAUGGUGAUGAACCUAUAAUAAAUGAAGAUAUGAUAAAAAUCCCUAAUGAAAUGUAGAUUAAAUAUGAAGAUGAUGAGAAUCCUGAAGAAUGUUUGAUUAACGUCUUUCCUUCACUAAAAAAUCAUGCACCCUUGGUUGAAUAUAUUACGAAACAAGCUAUCCUUGUAACAACAAAUGAUUAUAUUGAUAUACUAAAUGAAAAACUCAUUGAAACGUUUCCAAGGGAAUUUAAAACAUAUUACAGUUUCGAUUAUGCAAUUGAUGAUACUCAAAAUUAUUAUUAAAAAGAAUUUUUGAAUACACCAACACUAAACAAGCUUCCUCCUCAUAAGUUAGUCUUAAAGAAGAAUUUUCCUACCAUACUCUUAUGGAACUUAGAUUCAUCUAAUGAACUUUGCAAUGGGAUUAGAAUGGUUUGCAAAUGUUUUGAGUCAAAUGUAAUAUCUAUAGAAAUUACAACACAACAGUAUGCUGAAAAACAAGUAUUACUCCUAAGAAUACCUCUUUCACCAGUAGAAAAUGAAGGAUACCCUUUCCAUUUCAAAUGAUCCCAAUAUCCAAUUUGACUUAGUUUUGCAAUGACUAUAAACAAAGCAUAAGCCCAAAUAAUCUUAUAUGUUGGCAUAUAUUUACCAUAAAAUUUCUUCUCGCAAGAUCAAUUAUAUGUUGCAUUAUCAUGUAACACUUUAAUAAAAACAACAAAAGUCCUCAUUAAAGAAAGCACUUUUAAAUGUACCAUUGGAAAAAGAUCUUAUACUAAGAAUGUGGUAUAUAGAGAAGUUUUAAUUCUAGGAAAGUAAUGAACCUACCUAUGCUUUAUACUUUUCAUUAUUUUAAUUAAUUAGUUUCCCUUGUUUGAUAUUGUUGAAUUUCUUAUCCUAAAUAAUUUCAUUCUUCAAUUUUUUUUUGUAGCCACAACAUUUGAUGAAGAAAUUAAUGUCCGAGGCUUUAUACCUCUUAACAUGAUUUAAUCUUCUCAUAGAUAAAAGCAUUAGUUCUUCAUUGACGUUUAAUAGAAUUGUAUAAUACUUCAAAAGGAUUUGGAAAAACUUCACAAGAUAAAAUUAAUGGGUGAUAAGUUUUGAUAAGUUUUUUUAUUUUUUAUGAUUAUGUUCAUGUUUACUUUUAUUUACCUACUGCUUAAUUGAGGUGCACAUUUAAAUUUUUUAUAUGCUCUCAUAGGGUAUAAGAAUAUAAGAAAUUUUAUUUUGUGAUGCAAUUGACAUGUUUAAGAAGGAAUUCAUUAAGGAAAAGACAUUUUAUUUCAAAUGGAUUGGUCAAACAAGUGAAUGCUAAUUUUUUAAAUGUUCUAGAUACUCUUGAGUUAACGUUAUUUAUCCAUUCUCAAGUGGAGGAGGCUAUAAUUAUCAUUGACCUAUCAAAUGCUACGUAUAACUUCAUCAAAUUUAAGUAUAUCAACUAGCAUUUAGAAACCAACAAUCUAAUUGGUAAGUAGAUAUAUAUUAUUUAGAAAAUUUCAUUUCAUUUUUACAAUUUUGAGGUACUAACAUUUAAAUAUUUUCAUUUUUCCUUCUAGAUUUAUCAGCUGUUGUUGUGAAGGCUGACAUUUUUAUUUUCAUAAAGAGAUAUGAAAAUUUUGGUGACACUAGCAAGCGCGAUAUCACACUCAUGAAUUAUUGUACUUAUUUAUACCUUUUUACAAUUAAUAUUUUUUUCCUAAAAAAAUAUAUUUACGUUUUUAGAUUCUAAUAGUUAUAACUUUAUAACAUAUUUUAUUCAUGUUUAUUACAGUCAUGAUACAAUUGGAUUAACAUUAUGGGGGGAUCUUGCAAGAAAUGAAGGUCAUUUAUAAAAAGAGAAAAUUAUUUGUAAAUUAAUAAUUGCAUUAUAAAAAACAAAGAUUACAACAUAUGAAGGUAUAUGUUACACGUUAUUUAAUUUUUUUAAACAUUUUUAUUUAUUGGAUAUAUAUAUAUAUAUAUCAAUAUUAACUAUUUAAGAAUUUUAUUGACAAUUAGGGAAUUUAUGUUUAUCCACAUUGUCAAUUACCACAUUUUAUGUCAAUUUAGAUUUGGCAAAAGUUGCGAAAAUCAAAGAAUGUUACACUUUAAAAAGUUAAUGCUUUAAAAAAAAUCUCUCUACUUUCACAUACCAAUAUUGAAAUAAUAUGAAUUACAAACCUAAUUUGAAAGUCAAACUCUAUUAUCAAUGCAAGUAUGCCAAGGAUGGUUGGCCUAACAAAGAUUAUGCCCUCAUAAUGCAUCACACUGAUUGAUUUAAUAUAAAAAGAAUUAUUUGAAUUCCAGGUAUAUGACAUCCUAGAAGGGGAUAAAAACCUAUUGAUAUUUUUUAUAUUCUAAUACUUAAAUUAAUACUAUUGUUUGUUUAAACUUGUAGAAAAUUUAUUAUUCAUUUAAAGAAACAAUUGUCAAUGUUGACAAUAUGGAUGAACCUUGGUACAAUUAUGCACAAAAUGUAAUAAAAAAGUCGUUUGAAAGGCUAAAUAGUGCAGUGUCCAAAAUGUUGCAACACCAAUACAAAUUAUUGUCGUUCAAGGUAAUAUCCCUCAUUUAUGUUGAUUAUUAAACAUUCAAGCAACGAUGAUAUACACUUACUAAAAUUCAUUUUUCUUUAUUCAUUUUAUUGAUUAAUGGAAUUAAUAUAAACGUAUGCUUAGACUUACAAUUGCUGAUGGAACUCACCAAGUUGUCUUAACCUUGUUUGAUGUUGUGGAACAAUCUUUAGAUGUCUUGUAACUAAGUUCAUUGAAACAAAAAAAAAACAGGUGCAAUAUUUUGAACUUUUAACAAAUUAUGAUCAUGAUUAACAAGAAAAAAAAAAACUCUUCUUACCUAACCUUCAUCAACUUUGUAUUUUAGGAAGGAAUGAAUAAUUAUUUUUAUAAAGAGUUGAUCCACUCUUAUAGGAAGUCAUUAACUUUCCUCAAAGAUUAAUAAAAUGAAUAACACAACUAUAAAACCUCCAUUUUGUCCAUUUAGCACAUGUCUUUAAGUUCACUUCCAGUGUUCCACAUUAGUUCUUUGAUGACCCAUUAUUACUCAUGUAGCUUACCUUUUCUGAGCCAUUUUGGAGACUUUGGUUGAAGGGUUUAUUCGGCUCCACAUUAUUACCUUGGUUGUCUUUCAAGUUUAGAUUAGGUUUCAUUUAGGCGCACUUUAAGUUAGACUUAAUUAGGCCUAUUUAGACACCUUAGGCCCGUCUAAGUUCACUUAGGCCUACUUAUGCACACUUGACCCAUUAGACAUUCUUAGCGUGACUUGUAUAGUUGUAUGACUCAUUUAUCACAUUUAUUUAUUUAUUUUUAUUUUUUAUUAUUAUUGUCAAUCACUUUUAUUUAAUCAUUUAUUAUAUUUUAUUUAUUUAUUUAUUUUAAUUUAUUUUCAUUGUUAUCAAUCACUUUUAUUUAUUUGGUUAUUAUUUAUUUAUUUGUUUGUUUGUUUAUUUAUUUUUAUUAUUAUCGAUCACCUAUUUUUUUAUUUACUUAUUUAUUUACUAUCACUUAAAUAUUUGUUCAUUAUCUUGCUAUUUAUUCAUUUAUUUAUUAUUAUCAUUUGAUCGUUCUUCGAGAAAAAUAUUUAUUCAUUUAUUUGAUUUAAUAAUUUGAAGUUUUAUAGGAAAAUCUACCAAUGGAGAAAUUUUUGGAAAAGACAGGACUCUUUAGGUGAUAUGCACAAAUUCAUUUUUGAAAUUAAAAAAAAAAAGUUUUUUUGGUGGAUAAGACGGAGAGUUGGGAGGGAGGAAGACUCCUUAGAGGGAAUGACUUCUAAUUGCUAUAAAAAGCUCUAACAGAUGGGUGUAGGGGCGGUAGAAAGAGAUAGAGAAAAAAAAAGAGGUUUUCAAAGUAAGGAUUUUGAGCACGCAUUGAGAAGGUGGAAAGAAAGGUCGGAGUCGAGAGAGAGACAAAGGAGAAAGAAAAUUGAUCGGCUUGCUUUCUCUUCGGAAGUAAGUUCUUCACUAUAAAACUUAUGCUCUCUCCUGUUUUCUUUUUCUUUCUCGUCUACUAUUACCAUGAUUUAUAUGAUGAUUGAGUGCGGCUUUCAGAGGCCAUAUGUUUGCUGUUGAUUUUGGACUGUUAUUAGAUUUGUCAUAGUUUGUGUUUCUUCUAUUGCUUUUUGUUUAUAUUAGAGAAUGAUCCGACUCUGUUGGUUUCAUUGUAAUAUCUAGAAGUUCUUCUUCUUUCUCCCAUAUCCAAGCCCGUUGAAAGUGCAUAUAUGAUACAUGGCUUUGAAUGAUUACCCAUCUAUGUGUUUCUUUUCUCCCUACUGUCUUUCUGCCUUAUUUUAUCAUUUUUGUUCAUGAUAUGUACGUCGGGUCACAUGAACUUAUUGUUUGCGAUGAUUGGAAUUCGAACCACCCUUUUUUGACUAAUUGAUGUCACCGGAGAAGUCUCUAAAAGGCAGUUAUUGAUUUUGAUAUUACAAGUGAUCUGGUGGUGUUUACGGGUUUUGUUGAGGGUGUUUGGGUUCAAAGCGAAACUGCUUAUCCGACGUCCUGCAUGAAAGAAUCCGCUCUGUCUCAGUUGUUUAUAAGAUAAACAAGUGUUCUUGUUAGUAACAGGUGGAAGAAUGAGCAUACAUGGUUAUCAUGUUUCAUGGAAUAAAAAAGGUUCAUUCAGCCAUGAUCUAUAAGAAUUCCCGAGAAAUCUCUGAUGUAUUAAAAUGGAUCCAAGAGAUUAGUCGGAUAAAGGAUGCCGAGAUGAGGUGGACAUUUAAUAUGAGAUUGGGACGACACCAAACUGGAGGAACUGAUAGAGUGAAUCAAUUUGCGUUAAUGCCAAGAAUCCUUUUCCUUUGCAUGCAAUUAAGUGACCAUCGAUGUAAUGAGACCAUAUUGUAGACUAUUUAGUCACAAACUAUAGGAUGAGACCCAUUAAAGCUGGUUCGGAGAUGAUGUACUAGAAGAGAUGGAGUUCUUCGCUGUUACUAAACUACAGUAGUCAUAGCAGGAAGGUAGCUUUUAUAAUUAUGUUUGGAGUGGUUGCAAUCAAAGAGAGUUAAUGGGGCGCAUUUCUGAAUGUAUUUGCUGCCGUGUUAACUGGUUCUAUAUCCAUAGGGUUGGCAUCUACUUGCAUGAAAAAUGGUGGCCUUUUCCUAGCACUAGAUUCAUACACAUAUAGUUCGAUCUGCACCUUGCAGGCUGACGAUUAGCAAACUUGAGUCUAAGUGCUAGUCAAACAAAAAACCAUGAUGCAGGAUCCAGAUGAUAGUUGAUGGAAAGCACGGCGUCCUUGCUUAUCGAGAGGGUUUGGAAUCAUGAACUUAUUAAACACCCAGGCGUAGUCUUCAUGGGGUGAUUCGCACAGGGAGCAUGGAAGCAGAAAACGUUUUGGGUAGAGCGUCUACGUUGGAGAUUGAUUGGUGAACCAAAACAAUUCUGAAUCCGUUGUGAUGAAAGUGAAAGGAAGGUGCUUUGGAUUUAGAAGAUACUAGGAUUUUCACAUCUGCCGACACUCAUUAGCAUAAGCAAGGAUUUGAGGGCUGAGAUGGUACCAUGAUGAUACAGAGAAGUGCUCCAGAAUCUAAGCAUGGUUCAUGCCUUAUUUGUCUUAUUGUCCUCAUCAUUUCUAGAAAGACAUUGAUAAUAAUCAUGUGAGCUAACCCCUAUUUUCAAUGAACUUGAAGAUCAUUUGGGUUUGUGUUUGCUAUCAUAUGAGGCUGAUAAAUUAAAGGCACAUGAUCUCUAAACUGAUUGGCUUACUGCUUGGUUGCAUGAUAUGAAGGGGGAAUGUGUCAUAUGUGAAAAAUUUACCUUCACCAUUUGCCCGAGUAUACGUGCUGCCAAUUUCCACAAAAUGGAUAGUCUCUAUGGCUCUUAAAAUGACACGCGCUCCCUAUUUCUAGCUCCCUUUUGGCUGCAUAUACUUAACAUUUUCUUAGUGGAACCAUCAUCCUCUUUGUUGUCUAGGAUAGGGUGUACUUCAUGGGACCCACUAAAAUUUCUCUUCAAUAAUUUGAUAAAUUCCAACUACUCAUUGUGAAUUUGGUGUUGAUUUUGUAAAUCUGAAUUUGACACAUUGUGGAAGACUUUUUCCUAAUGUAGUAGCAUAGUUAUUUUGGGAGAAUAAUUCUAGUGGUGCAAACAAAAACUUGAUGGAACCCCCCGCAUAAGAAAAUGUUUCAAAACUUUUUUUUUCUUGCUGUCAGUUUUCACUCAACCAUUGAACCUUUAGAUUUAAAAUUCGUUUCAAUAACUUUAGAAUAUUUUUUAAAAAUUUACAAAACUUGUAUGACUUUCCUCACUUCUUGAACUUGAAUUUAAAGUUUUGUUUGAGUUAGAAAAUCAUUCUGGAAUAGAAGAUAUAAAUGAGUCUUUAGGGGGGCUCCAUUUUCACCCAGUUAUGGACAUUCGAGAUAUUUUUGAAAAAACAAAAUACCAGACGACUUUUUAGAUUUGAUUCAAUAUUUUUUUUUUUUAUCAAUUCUAGACUUCUUGAAAUUGAUAUUAGAUGCAUAAAAUGUUAAAAAAUAUGCCAUUUUGAGGGAGAUAUGAUUUUUCAAAGACAUACCUACUGUGCAUAACGAAAUUUGGACAUCUGAUUAGUUGGAGCAUUUUAAAAAUAUUUUUGAGUAUUAACCGACCUUGAAUUUAUUUUUCUUGUGAUAUAGACACCUUUAAAGAUGUGUGAUUUUUUGUACGAAUUUAUGUGAUUUCUUAUUAUUUUUUUUUAAAAUUCAUUUUUUCAUGUCAUUUUUCUCAUCUAAUAUGGACUUUGUAGAACCUUUAAGUGUCUUUGCUGCAAUCUGUCAUUUGAAUGAGUAUUUGGAUUUUGGUAUGUUAAUCUAGAUGUGUAAGAGUUGUUUCCUGAAAUUUUUCAUAAUUAAAUUCCACUCUAAGCCAUUUUUUUUAGAAAUUGAUUUGUGAUGCUUCCUUUUCUAACCGCAUGCUGAUGGGUUUAUACUUUACUUGAAAUUGUUAUUAUUUUUAGAGUCAUUUGAUUUAUCUUAGCUCAAUUUUGGAUUUGGUAAUGUAUAUUAGACAUUAUAAAGAUUUUAUAUAAUAUAUAAUUUUCCUAACCACCUUAGCCUUUUUUGAGGAAUUUUAUAAAUUAUGCAUGCUAUCCAGGUACGCUUUCUAUCAGUUACUUUUCAGAAUUCCAUGAACAUGCAUGUUGUUAUGAGUCUUUUUUAUGCUUGAUGUGAUCCUUAGGUGCUUAGAUGUAUGCUUGAUUUGCUUGGAUAAAACACAUGUUGUGUGCUAUAUUUCUGUACUAACUUUGAUGUUUUAUGAUAACACUUGAGAAACAGUUCAGGAACACACUUUGACUCUCCUUUAUGAUCAUGAUUUGACUUUUUGGCUU